RNAcentral lists this long non-coding RNA (53207 nucleotides) under Lactuca sativa (garden lettuce). RNAcentral describes it as "long non-coding RNA (LSAT_LNC006308)". The record is from RNAcentral. Lineage: Eukaryota; Viridiplantae; Streptophyta; Magnoliopsida; Asterales; Asteraceae.
GCAUGUUUAAAUCUCGAUAUGCCCCUCUUGUUUGUGACUGGGAUGCCGAGGAUCACAAAGCGGGUGUGAAUUACCAUGCAAAUUCACAUGGUGCCUUCAUUGUAACAAUCACCUAUUCGAUGUGCCGGUAAACCACACACGCUCCAUCGAACUAUGAUAAACAAUGAAUCACCCUUUGCCACCUUCGCUUAGAACCAAUUAGUGUGCCGGUAAACCACACACGCUCCACUAACAUCUUAGCAAGGUGCAAAGUGUAAUUUCAUGGGAUUGCAUCAAUUCACUUUUCCUAAAGUAACUAGGAUUGGGAAAUUUUAAAAAAAUGUGUAGUUACUUUAUAUUUCUUAUUAUACUUUUAAUGAGAGGAUGAGGUUGCCCUAUCCUACCCGUUCGGCUAACGACCCUCCACCAAUCAAGCAAGCGGUGGGUGUGAGUGUACACCCAUUAAGCGCCAUUUUAUAGGCCGCAACCUUAUACCCACCUUAUAGAUCGGCUUCGUGAAUGAGGCCUACUAACGGUAAGACUAGCAUUUAGUUAUACAUAUAUAUAUUAUUCUAGUAAUAUCAUAUUAGUAUAGGGUUGUAUUUUAAAACUUUUAAAAUCUAGGGUUUGAAAUUUAAGUUGUCUAAAUUAAAACUUUUAAUCACAAAAGUAAAUUUCAAAACAUGAGGGUAGGUUUUAAACAUUUAAAACAUGGAGGAUCAAAUAACAAAUAAUUCCAAUUAACAAUUAAUAUCCUAAUUAUCUAUAUUUGAUUUAUUCAAGAUUUCUUUUAAAGAUAAUUACCAAAAUAAUCAAAAUAAUUAAUUAAUUAUCAUAUAAGGAAAUUAAAUAUUUAAUUAGUUGAUAAUUACCUUUAACUAGAUCAAGAUAAUAGUUAUAUUUAUCAGAAAAACGAAUUAAUGUUGAUCUAAUUAGUUUAUGGUAAGUUAAGAUAAGAUAAACACAAAGAAAUCCCGAAUCUGGCCAUUCCUGACGCCUGGACUCGCCGAGUGCACAAAUGGACUCGCCGAGUCAGGCCUACUCGCCGAGUCCACUUUGAGACUCGCCGAGUCCAUGACUCAGAAACAUAAAAUUCGAAUUUUUCAAGCAAGAUUCAAACAAACAAGCAACAAUUUAAUAGAAACCAAUCUAGGCUCUGAUACCACUGAUGGGUUUUGGCCAUAUGAACAUUCCUAUGUGCACAUGCAAACCCUAAUGCUUGGAUCUAGGUUUCUCUAAUUAAACAUGCUUUGAAUCCAAGACUUCUAAUGACUAAUUAGGUAUAAGAACAAUACAAAAUCAGAUCUAGAAGUUUACCUUUGAAUCUCUUGUUUGAUCUUGUUGUCUUGGAGCUCUAGAGUCACAAUUGUCACUCCUCUAAUGGCUUACAAACACCAACUAGCAAGGAGGAUGAUUUGAGAGAGAGGUUAGGGAAUAAAUCGGCCAGGGGUACUUUACUUUUGAAGAGAUGCCGAUUUCCCUUGCCCUAGGGGUCUAUUUAUACUUGUAAGGCUCCUAGGGUUUCACCAUUAAACCCUAGUUGGUUAAUCUUUCCUUAAAGCAAUCCAAAUCCUUUCCAAAGAUAAGCCUUGGACGAAUUUGAGGCUAUCCCAAGCCCUAGAAUUCAUCCAUCCUCUAUCCAAGAAGGAUUUACAGCCCAAAGUGUAACUAUCAAACAAUUGACAGUUUACACCCUCUUAUUUAAUUAAUCUCUUUAAGUCACCAAAUUAAUACUAAUUAAUCUAUGACUUAUGUUAAUCAAAUAACAAUAUUAUUAUUCCUUAUAUUAUUCUCAUAAUAUAUUAAUAAUAUUUAUUCUCUCAUAAUAAAUCAUCCUGUCAAGUUGCUAUGGUGAAGGCAACCCAAAAGGAUCAUGCACAAUCGGGUCAAAUACUUGCCUAAUAUAGUUGCAGCCUUAGACACUAUUCCAACAACAUGCCCAUAAAAAACUUAUAUUACCUCAUAUCUUUCCUAAAUUCAUCAAUCUUUUGUUGUAUGUUAGGCCUACAAUUACCCCUAUAUUUGGUUACCUCUUGACCUUGAUGAAAAAACCUUUUCAUAAGGAGAAUCCUUAUUUCCUCAAGCAUUAUGAGUAGAGGCUUCUUCCUUAUUUCUUUGAUCAUGUCAUUGAAACAUUAUGCAACCUCAUUCUCUACUGCUUCACAAGCAUACCCAUGAGAAAAGAAUGCCCUGCACCAGGUUUCAGGUUUCCUUGCCAUAAGAUAGGUGUAUCCUGUUUCUGUUACCUUCUUUAUCUUCUCCAUUGUAGCAAGAAAAUCCCCUUCCACUAUACUCAUAGCAGCUUCCCAGAACAAAUUCUUUAGCUCUAAUCCUGUGUAUUUCUUCCUAAAGUUUUCAAAGAUGUGUCUAGCACAUUAUAUGUGCUCAACAUAGGGGAGUAGGUCUGCCACAGCUUGUAGAAGUCCCUAUAAUUAACAAACAAACACAACACAUGUAAAAAUUAAUGAGUGUAACAUAGAAAUAUAUAUUGUAUGAUAGUUUAUGUUGUGGUAGCUUGUGUUGGUCUGAGAUAACAACCAAUCCAUUGCCAGCACCAAGAUCCAAAUCAGCAACCAAAUUCUCAGUGAACCAGGUCCAGUUGUGCUUAUUCUCAACAUUCAAAACUGCCCAUGUUAUUGGGUAGACAUGGUUGUCUGCAUCCCUCCCAAUAGCAGUUAAAAUCUCCCCUUAACCCGCCCCUUCAAGAAACUACCAUCUAGUCCUAUUACCCUUCUACAUCCUCUGUUCCAUCCAUCUCUAAAAGCCUUGAAGCCAACAUAAAACCUUUUGAAAUAGUUACACCUCGGAUUACUUUCUACCCCCACCAAGCAAGUUGUACCCGGAUUACUCAACCUAAUUGCAGCUGCAUAGUCCCAAACCUUGGCAUAGUGUUAUUCUAACUUCCCUUCUAUCAUCCCCAUUGCAGUAUCCCUUGCUCUUUGGCAUUGCCUAACAGAUACACUCACUGAAAACCUUUGUAGCACAUAUGCUUGCAUCUCUAGCAAUGUCAUAUUGGGCUUCAUGAUUACAUCUUUUAGGUAGCGUUUGGCUAACCAAUUGCUAGUAACUAGGGAACCAAAAUGAUAAUUCCUAGCACACAGAUACAUUCAUCACAAAAUUUUGAUCUGGAAUGUCCUUUCAUCGUACUUCCAUCCAGCUGCAACCCUAAAUGGACACUGCAUUUUUUUUAUUAUCACUGCUUCCACUACCACACUUAGUUAUAACCCUCACUCUAUCACUUUUUUCAAAAUAAAGUUGGUACCCUCCAUGGACUGCAUAGUUAGUUAAAGCAAAACCUGAGUUGAGCAGGGGAUUCAUAACAGUCUCCUAAUCGGGGCCUCAUCUCUUUCCAGUCAAGAUUGGGAUCAUGCACCAUAUACUCCACACCAACAUCUUCAUCAUCCUCAUCUAAGUGGGCAUGCUCAUUUUGUUGGACACCAGGAAUGUCUCCAUCAUCCACCAUUCCAUAAAUAUCCCUCCUUAAUAUGUUUUCGUCAAACUGUAAGUUAAGAAAAUGAUCAUCAUAUAGUUUUGAGGGGGCUUUGAAAUUUUCUUCAGAAAAAUCCAAGAAGCUAAAGUCAAAUACAUCAUCAUCGGAGUAAGAGUCUGGAAGGUAUGUCUUCUCAGGGAGCUUAGGCUCUUUAUGCUUCUUAGUUCCAGAAGUAGAAGCCAUCUGUUUCAUCAAAAAAAAAUAACUUGUGUAACGCCUGUAGAUCCAGACUAGUCAAUUUACGGACGAUAAGAAUCAAAAGUGACUUUUUGAUAAAAGAUUAUUUAGUCAAAAUUAGCCGACGGAGUCUAAAUGAAAGUAAAUUCAAAAUUAGCCAACAGAGUCUAAAUGAAAUUUGUAGAGCAUAGUCUCGCCUACACGUGGAUAUAAAGAACGUCAAAAACGGAGCUCGUAUGCGAAAGAUACGAAAUUUUGAAGUUUAGAAAUGUGGAGUACGCCCAGCGUACUCAUGGUUCAUGGUCUGGGUUGGGCCACAUCGCCCUACUCCGCCACUCGAGUGCCCCGGUUCCAUAAGCAGUGACGCAUUCGUUCUGAUCUGCUUAGUACGCCCAGCAUACUCGAUGUACGCCCAACGUACUGCUUGUAGAGGGAGUACGCCCAGCGUACUCUGAAGUUACACCCAGCAUACUCUGAAGUUAUGCCUGGCGUAAUCGCAGGGGUCAGCCCCUAUAAAUAGAACUCAAGGGCUGCCGAGUUUUGUUGCUCAUUUCUUUCCUCUCACUUCUUAUUCUCUCAUUUUACGUGCAAAAUAUACCCCCGAAGCCAUGGUAUCAUCCUGACACCCGAAGCAAGUCCCGAAGCCCUGAAGAUCCCGAGAAAUAGAGUUGUCGAGCCGAAACUCUGCCCGUGAAAAGCUUGGUUUUUGGAAGAUAUCCCGGUUUCAUCGAAGAUUAUUAUUUUAAGAGUCGUAGUGCUGUCCGAACAUCGUCUUAUCAUGUGAGUGCAUGGUCCCUUUUAUGAACAUGAUUUUAAUACAAGUAUUGUUUGAAUGUAUUAAGUAUAUGUUUUGUGUGAGUUAUUUGAUGAUGUCGGAAUUAUGUGUUAAAGAACAUACCUGAUUUUUUUAUGAUAACUUAGGUUAAAGAGUAAACCUAAGGUUUGUUAUAAUGGUUAUGGGGUAGUAUUUCUUUAUGAGUACGAGCGAGAUAUAUACGGAGAAUAGAAAUUUAAAACAUGUCAUAGAUCCGGAAGCAUGGAUUAGACAUAGUUAUUUGUCCCUAGUCCGAGAGUAUGUGUAACAACCCAAUUUUCAUGUCCAAAAAUUUCAUUUUUAAAUCAAUACUUUGGAAAGCAUUUGUAAAUAAAACAUUGUCUGAUCAAAUCUUUCCACAAUCAUAAAUCGUGUUUGAAAACCAAAAUACGAAAUCAACUAAAUAUCAGAGUACAAAUCCCAAAACAAUCUCGUAAGGCGGAAACGGUGUAUGUGUAUAAUGUAUCGCUACCGCGCCAGCUCCUUCCCCUUCGACGAAGAUGUACCUGAAACCAAAACUGAAAACUGUAAGCACGAAGCUUAGUGAGUUCCCCAACAUACCACAUACCAUACAAUUAUAUAACCUACAGUACAAUCAUAUAUCAUACCAUACUUGUCAGGCAUUUCUGGGGUGCCCGACCUACCCGGUACGACCAUUCUGGGGUGCCGACCUACCCGUGCGGCCAUUCUGGGGUGCCGUCCUACCCGUGCGGCCAUUCUUGGGUGCCGACCACCCUUCGGUCCUAACAACCGAACCUCAGGGACUGUUUCACCCCUACCACUACUAUUAUCACAUAUCAUAACAUAACAUAUUAUCAGACAUAUCUGGGGUGUCUGACUACCCUUCGGUCCUAACAACCGAACUCGGGGACUGUUCCCCUCCUACUACCCCUCACACAUAUCUCAAAUCAUGCUAGCAUAUAAUCAUGACAUCACAUACUGUCAGACGUAUCUGGGGUGUCUGACUACCUUUCGGUCCUAACAACCGAACUCUACCACUAUAAAACAUCAAGCUAGCAUAUAACAUAUCAGGUAGCAGAAAACCUAGAUGAUAUCACAAAGACAAUCAUCUAACAUACAACUCCUACUGGUGGGCCGGCAUUGUGGUCGUAGACCCACCGCUACUGGAAGGUAACUCACCUCGAAGUAGCUGCUGAUCUGCACGGGAACUGUCUGUCUGUUGCCACUGCUCCGGAAAUCCUCCGACUGUAAAUCCCACGAAACACUCAAUCAAACACUGCUAACUGUCCUUAGGGUAAAAUGACCAUUUUACCCCUGACCAAGUCAAAAGUCAAAGUCAAAGUCAGCUUCCAAUUGACCCGACUCGCCGAGUUGGCUCGCUAACUCGUCGAGUCCCUAUCCAGUCGAUUGUCCUCACUCCCGUCCCUAAUCGUCGAGUUAGGUAUUGACUCGAUGAGUUCUCCUUCUAUACAGAUAUCCAAUAGUCCUUCAUUCGACUCGCCGAGUUGUAUGAACAACUCGUCGAGUUCAUCUUCAUCCGAUGAACACUUUGGUCCGCGACUCACCGAAUUGUAUGAUCAACUCGCCGAGUCUGUUCUUGAGGCAAGCAGAUUACCUUGGACUCGCUGAGUCAGGGCAUUGACUCGCUGAGUCCCUCCAUUACUGAGUCUGGCUUCCGACUCACUGAGUCCACUUAAAACUCACUGAUCCCACUCAGUGUAACUCAAAAGGGGGAAAAAUCGGGAACUUGCGACUCGACUCGCCAAGUCCGAAGAACGACUCGACGAGUCGCAUGCAUGCAACUACUAUAUACUCGAUUCUGAUUGAAUCCAAUGCAUCCCAUUCAUAGAUCUGGGUUCUUAGGGUACGUUUUACAUGUAAAGUUUCCAACUUUACGUGUAUUCAUGCAUCAAAAGGGAAAUAAGAGGCUUAACAAGGACUAGAAGAGAAGAUAUAGGACUUAUGCACAAGUUAAGCUCAUAAAGGCAAUAGAUCCGAGCUCCUAGAGCUCAAUCAUGCCUAGAUCUGAAGUCCCUUAACACUAUAAGCUCAUUACUCAAAGAUCAAGACUAGAAGAGGCCUCAAAAUGACUAUCUUAAGCUCUUAAUGAGAUAAUAAUGAAGGAACAGAGAGGGUUUCGAGUCUAAUACCUCUAGAAGCUCUGAAAUGGCACAAAGAUUCUAGAUCUUCUUCCUCUCCUCUUGAUCUACCUUCUUCUUUUCUCCAAAACUUCAAGGAAUUGCACCAAAAGCACUCAAAUUACUAAAAGAAGGGUUAGGGCUUCGUGAGGGGUGUUCUGGACGCAAUGGGGGCCGUUAUGAGGCACAAAAUGAUGUUUAAAUAGGGUGCAAACCUUUGAAAUUAGGGUUUCAUCCAGACUGGCGGACUCGCCGAGUCUAGAAUAUGGACUCGUCAAGUCGCCAACUUAAACGUGCUCGAUAUCUCGUCUCUACUCGGCGAUUCGGGCCUGCAACUCGCCGAGUUCCAGCUAAAAAUGCAAAAAUACUUAGAUUAAAAUACAUACCAGGAACCAGGUGCUACAGUAUGGAUUGGACUUAGUUAAUUGUCAUUAAUCUGGGAGUAUGGAUUAAGACAUAGUCAGUUGUCCUUAGACCGGGAGUAUGGAUUUAGACAUGGACCAAUUGCCCCUUAUCCAGGAGUAUGGAAUAGGCACAAUUAUGGACUCGAGAACAUGGAUUAGAUCCGGGAGCAAGAGUUAGAAUUUGAGGUCCAGGGGUAUGGAUAGUCUCGUUGAGAGGAUUGACGGUGUGGGGUAAGAGUUGAUUAUAUAUAUAUAUAUGGAAAAAAAAUNNNNNNNNNNNNNNNNNNNNNNNNNNNNNNNNNNNNNNNNNNNNNNNNNNNNNNNNNNNNNNNNNNNNNNNNNNNNNNNNNNNNNNNNNNNNNNNNNNNNNNNNNNNNNNNNNNNNNNNNNNNNNNNNNNNUAUAUAUAUAUAUAUAUAUAUAUAUAUAUAUAUGUUAUAACAUUGUGGGAUUGAAAUCCCUAUGUACUUACCAGGUUUUCCAAACCUGACCCACUCAGUUUUCUUUUUAUCAAAGGUAGUGGCACAAGAGCAUACGUUGGUUGACAUGACGAGAGAUUUUUAAUUAUAGAUGAGUACUUAUAAAUAAUUUUUGUAAGGUCUAUUUUAUAUUGUUUAUGCUUUUGGUCUGUAUCGGAACAUGACAUCCCGAGAUUUUGUUAUUUAAUGAAAAUACAUUUCUUUAAAGAAAUGUUUUGAUAAAUUCUUAUCACGUUUUGUUUUGGGAACAAAUUCCGCAACACUUUUUUCUUUAAACGAUUACUCUGAUUUUAAAACAAAACAUAAAAAAAUCGGUAUUUUCUGGCCAUGAAAUUUGGGGAUGUCACAGUUGGUAUCAGAGCAUUAGUUUGAGCGAACUAGGAAUUUGUAGGAUUUCUAGACUUAAACUUAGAAUGCUAAGUGAUGAUCGUGAGAUGAGUGUCUACCAUAUUUUAGACACGAGCACAAGUAUAUUUUAGGAAAGAUGCCUAAAAUGCUUUUAUGUGUUAAAUGUUAUAUGUUUGCUAUAUAUGAAAUUGUUUGUUCGGAUCUAUGGUCUGUUGCCGACUGGAUCUGGAAACCAUAUGUGUUUAUGAUUCUAAGCGUACAACUACGAUGUUAGAACUAGCAUGUAAACGUUACUGAGUGAUAAGGAUGAUUUGAAUAUCUAUCGUGAAUGAGGAUCUAAGUUCACAUUAUUCGGUGUAUAGAUCAGAAUGGCAAGAACCAGAAGUGGAGCUGGAAACGCAAACGAAAAAACAGGAAUGAAACACCUGUGAUUGAGCAAGUAGCUGUUGUAGCAGCAGCACCUGAACCAAUCACAAUGGAUGGAGUGCGAGCCAUGAUUCAAUCCAUGAUGGCUGAACAAAGGGAGGAAAUGAGACAAUUGUUUCUGAAUAAAAUGAGUGAACCUUCAAUACCUAUUGAACAACCGGAAUUAAAUAAUGGUCAGUUAGAGGAGGGAAAUUACAGUAGAUAUGUGGGUCAGACUGAACCGCUGGUGGAUAAGAGGAAUAAUCAAGAGGAAGGAGUUGAGAGAAAUGGAUGCAAGUACAAAGAUUUUAUGACUUGCAAGCCAUCAACUUUCACUGGAAAAGAAGAUCCCGUCGGAAUAAUGGAUUGGAUCCCAGAAAUAGAAUUAGCCUUUAUAACAUGUGGGUGCAAAGGCAAGUUACAAACCAUAUUUGCAGCGCGUCAGUUUAGAGGUGGCGUUGUUCGCUGGUGGAACACUCUGGGGAAGACCCUAAGCCCUAACGAGCCACUGCAACUGACUUGGACAGAGUUCUUGGUGCAAUUCAAGCGCAAGUUCUGCUCGGCCCAAAAUUUGCUAGAGUUGGAGAACAUAUUUCUGAUAUUGAAGAAAGACAGCAUGUCAGUUGAUGGAUACACUAAUGCCUUCACAUACAAGAUGGAGUUUGCUUUGCACAUCGUCCCAGACAAGCUGAAAAAAGUUGACCGGUACACAAAGGGACUCCCAUGGGAGUAUGUGGUGCCAGUACGUUAGACACUUACUCUGGAGGCAGCUAUCUGGGCUACCAAGUCUGUUGAAGAUAUGAUUAAGGGAAGAACCGCCAGCAAGGUUGAAGUUGGCGAGAAAAGAAAUUUUGAAGGAUCCUCAAGGACAAGGUGAGAAGAGAAAAAUUUUGAAGUCUGGUUCGAAGAAAUUCGAAGAAGAAGAACAAUGGUGUGAUAAGUGCAAGAGGAAGCACAUUGGGAGAUGCUCUAAAGAAAUGACCUGCUUCAAAUGUGGGAAGACUGGUCAUUAUGCCAGCAAAUGCACAAACAAAAGAGAAACCUGCUUUAAGUAUGGUGAAGAAGGACACUUCAAGCAGAACUGCCCAAGAAGGGAAGAGAUUACAAAGCCAAAUGUCCUGCCAAAGCCAAAGGCAAGAGCAUUUCAAAUGAUCCUUGAUGAAGCAGAUGACAAUGCGAGGGAUCAAGGAUGAGGGUUUUAUAUCCAAAGAUCAAGUAAUGAAGUAGUAGUGUGAAUAGUAACCUAUGGUGUAGCCUAUUAGAGGCAUAAUAUAGGGUGAACUUGAACUUUUGUGUAAUAGUUUCAAGAAAAUAAUAUAAAUCCUAGUUUUGUUAUCUGGUGUGUUAGAUGAUUGUGUGAUUUUCUUGUGAGGCGACUUGGAUUGAAUGUGGGGAAAUACUUGGGACGAGUAUGAGUAGGUGUGAAUGGUAGUAAAGGCCUAUACUACCUGAAGCACAUGACUCACGCUUGGAUUAGGGAAAGUCACAAGGUUACCAAGAAGCUAGUGAUUAGUCUCGUUUUAUUCAAGUAUGUCAUUACCAUCGUUUCAGUAAUGACUAAUGAGAUGAUUGUUAUUCCAACCCUAGUGUUCAUAUAAAAUUGAGUCCAACUACGAUGAGUUUGUUACGUGGUUCAUAGAACAAGUUCAAUGUAACAUCUGACUUAAGUCAGAAGAUUGAAAUCAAGGCGAUCGAUGGCAUCACACUCGUUGUUAAGGAAGCUUGUAGCUAGAAAUGCUACAUACAAAAAUGUGAUUAUAUUACAUUAGAAUAUGAAGGAAGGUAUAUUCCAUUCUGGAAUUUGACUCUAAGAAACUUGAGUCUAAGCGUUGUUACAUACGAUGAGAGAUCAUUAGAGCAUGACCCAUCGAUCUGUUACAAUUGAUAAAGGAAAGUACUUAUCCUAAGAAGAAGAAGGAUUCCUCAAUAGGAUUUAUUUUGUAACUCGUAGGUUACGAUUGAAAGUCCAACAUAGUACGAAGGGCAGGUGCAAGAUUGAGCAUCGCCUGCGGUCAAGAAGCCCAAGAGUUAGAUACUCAUUCGAAGAAACAUAUAUAUUACGGUUAUUACUUAGGAUGGAAAGAUAACGUAUGGAAUCAUUAUACAAGUCCUAUUUUCGUUGAUGAUUUCGGGACGUAAUCAUCCUAAGGGGGAGAUAAUUGUAACGCCUGUAGAUCCGGGCUAGUCAAUUAGGGACGAUAAGAAUCAAAAUUGGCUUUUUGAUAAAAGAUUAUUUAGAAUGAAUCAUCUUAACUAGGUUGUAGUGGUCAUGACAAGGAUUCCGGAUAUAUAAAGAAUGCCGAAAUCUGAGUUAUAACGAAGAAGUUAUGACCUGUCGAAGUGUUGUGACAGAAUCGGUACGAAACUGCAGGACGUAAAUAAUGAAUUUAUAAUAGUGUGGUAUUUAGCCUUAGUAAUCUAAACAAAAGUCGUAUAAUAAGUUAAACCGAGAGUGUGCAUAAAAAGAAAGUCUAAAUCUGACUUCGUAUGAGGAAGUUAUGAUUUUUCGAAAUUUCGACUUAGCGGUAUGCAUCCCAAAGUUCGAAUAUGAGAUUGAAUGAUUUCUAGCCGAAACAAUCUAAAUGAGAAUCGAAGAUCUCGUUAAUAGUAGUGCAACGGUAAAAAGACAGACGAAAUUGAAUGUCACAAUUGCAAUGAUCUAUCCCCAUCACGAUGAAAUUUCAAAGAUUUCCCGGGCCUGUNNNNNNNNNNNNNNNNNNNNNNNNNNNNNNNNNNNNNNNNNNNNNNNNNNNNNNNNNNNNNNNNNNNNNNNNNNNNNNNNNNNNNNNNNNNNNNNNNNNNNNNNNNNNNNNNNNNNNNNNNNNNNNNNNNNNNNNNNNNNNNNNNNNNNNNNNNNNNNNNNNNNNNNNNNNNNNNNNNNNNNNNNNNNNNNNNNNNNNNNNNNNNNNNNNNNNNNNNNNNNNNNNNNNNNNNNNNNNNNNNNNNNNNNNNNNNNNNNNNNNCGGUCGUACUCAUAACCGCAUCAGGUCUCUAAGGUGAACAGCCUCUGGUCGAUGGAACAAUGUAGGCAAGGGAAGUCGGCAAAAUGGAUCCGUAACCUUGGGAAAAGGAUUGGCUCUGAGGGCUGGGCAUGGGGGUCCCAGUCCCGAAACCGUCGACUGUUGGCGGACUGCUCGCAUGGAGGAGUUAUGAAUUUUUAAUGGACUUUUUCUGUCCCAACCUGUUAAAAAUAUAAUAAUAAAAAUAAAGUCCAAUUAGCCGACAGAGUCUAAGUGAAAGUUGUAGAGCAUAGUCUCACCUACGCGUGGAUAUAAAGAAUGUCAAAAACGGAGUUCGGAUGCGAAAGAUACAAAAUUUUGAAGUUUGGAAAUGCGGAGUACACCCAGCGUACUCAUGGUUCAUGGUCUGGGUUGGGCCACAUCGCGCUACUCCACCACUCGAGUGCCUCGGGUCCGUAAGCAGUGACGCAUUCGGUCUGAUCUGCUUAGUACACCCAACGUACUGCUUGUAGAGGGAGUACGCCAAGCAUACUCUGAAGUUACGCCCAACGUAAUCACAGGGAUCGGCCCCUAUAAAUAGAACUCAAGGGUUGCCGAGUUUUGUUGCUCAUUUCUUUCCUCUCACUUCUUAUUCUCUCGUUUUACGUGCAAAAUAUAUCCCCGAAGCCCUGGUAUCAUCCCGAUACCCGAAGCAAGUCCCGAAGCCCCGAAGAUCCCGAGAAAUAGAGUUGUGGAGCCGAAACUCUGCCCACGAGAAGCCCGGUUUUUGGAAGAUAUCCCAGUUUCAUCGAAGAUUAUUAUUUUAAGAGCCGUAGUGCUGUCUGAGCAUCGUCUUAUCAUGUGAGUGCAUAGUCCCUUUCAUGAACAUGAUUUUAAUACAAGUAUUGUUUGAAUGUAUUAAGUAUAUGUUUUGUGUGAGUUAUUUGAUGAUGUCGGAAUUAUAUGUUAAAGAACAUACCUGAUUUUUUAUGAUAACUUAGGUUAAAGAGUAAACCUAAGGUUUGUUAUAAUGGUUAUGGGGUAGUAUCUCUUUAUGAAUACGAGCGAGAUAUAUACGGGGAAUAGAACUUUAAAAUAUGUCAUUGAUCCGGAAGCAUGGAUUAGACAUAAUUAUUCGUCCCUAGUCCAAGAGUAUGGAUUGGACUUAGUUAAUUGUCAUUAAUCCGGGAAUAUGGAUUAAGACAUAGUCAGUUGUCCUUAGUCCGUGAGUAUGGACAUGACAUAGAAUUUGUCAUUAGUCCGGAAGUGUGGAUUUAGACAUGGAAUGGGCACAAUUAUAGACUUGAGAAGAUGGAUUAGAUUCGGGAGUAAGAGUUAGAAUUUGAUGUCCAGGGGUAUGGAUAGUCUCGUUGAGAGGAUUGACGGUGUGGGGUAAGAGUUGGUUAUAUAUAUAUAUAUAUAUAUAUAUAUAUAUAUAUAUAUAUAUAUAUAUAUAUAUGUGUGUGUGUGUGUGUGAUUANNNNNNNNNNNNNNNNNNNNNNNNNNUGUGUAUUCUAAAUUAUAUAUAUAUAUAUAUAUAUAUAUAUAUAUAUAUAUGUGUGUGUGUGUGUGUGUGUGUGUGUGUGUUAUAACAUUGUGGGAUUGAAAUCCCUAUGUACUCGCCAGGUUUUCCAAACCUGAUCCACUCAGUUUUCUUUGUAUCACAUGUAGUGGCACAAGAGCAUACGUUGGUUGACAUGACGAGAGAUUUUGGAUUAUAGAUCCAGUAGUUAUAAAUAAUUGUUGUAAGGUCUAUUUUAUAUUGUUUAUGCUUUUGGUCUGUAUCGGAACAUGACAUCCCAGAAUUUUGUUAUUUAAUGAAAAUACAUUUCUUUACAAAAAUGUUUUGAUAAAUUCUUAUCACGUUUUGUUUUGGGAACAAAUUUCGCAUCACUUUCUUUAAACGAUUACUCUGAUUUUAAAACAAAGCAUAAACAAAUCGGUAUUUUCUGGCCAUGAAAUUUGGGGAUGUCACAACUUGUUAGUCCAAACUUGGAACUCCAUUGACGAAGAUAACCACCCUCAGAAUCAUCAAUUUCUUGUUUCCAUACACGUACAUUUUACUCCACCUUACUUCGUCAACGAUUUCGGAGCUUCAAAUUGCAAAAUUGGGGACUGUGAAACCCUUCUCAGCAUCAAACCAUUCUCGAGUGCAUGUAACCCUUUAACAAUGAUGGUUCGUGAAAGGUGAUGGCUAGGGAAUAACUUAGUGGUGACCGAAUGGUACAGUUUACCUGCUGGUGACUGGGUAUAAGCUCUCAAACGAUAAUUCCACGAAAAUAUCGUGGUCACAGUAAAUGAAACAUUAAAUUCAUGGUUUUUUUCAAUUUAAUGUCAAAAACAUGAGACUUUUAGUGAUAUUAGUGGUGAUAAGUAACUACACAUUUUUUAAACUCAAUUCCAAACAAAUUUAUGUAAUUUUCUCUUUAUACUACUUAGAGUUUUUAAUCAUCCACCUUAAGGGCAUUUUCGUCACACCCACAAACCCACACACUCACAUUCCUCCCCAUACUCUCCCUCAUCCCUCUUUUCCCCUAUAUAUAAUAUUCAGACACCUGGAAGCUCAGAUUCAAACAUCAUUCGAAACUCAGAAAGAAACAGAUACUUCAAAACUAAAGAGAGAAAUCAUGAGGACAAGCAACCACCUGAUUGGCUUACUAAACUUUCUCACCUUCUUGCUCUCAAUCCCCAUUCUCGCCGGCGGCAUAUGGCUGAGCACCCGCGCCAACAACUCCGACUGCAUGAGCUUCCUCCAAUGGCCCAUAAUCGUCAUCGGCGUCUCCAUCAUGGUCGUCUCACUCGCCGGGUUCGCCGGCGCGUGCUAUCGCAACACCUUCCUCAUGUACCUUUACCUCUGGGCUAUGUUCGUCAUUAUUGCUGUCCUAAUCGGGUUCAUCAUAUUCGCCUACGCCGUCACCGAUAAAGGAUCUGGUCGACCCGUAAUGAACCGGGUUUACCCGGAUUACUAUCUUCAGGACUAUUCGGGUUGGCUCAAGGAUCGGGUCGCUAGUGAUAGCUACUGGGGUAAAAUCAGAUCAUGUAUUCAUGAUUCUAAAGCGUGUGCGAAAACGGGUCGGAUCAUUGGUGGGUACCCGGAAACUGCAGACAUGUACUACCUUCGAAAGCUUAACCCCAUUCAGGUUAGUGUGUUUUUCAAAUAAAAGUAUUUACUUAAAAAAAUGAGAAAUUAAAUAUACUUCUACUUUUUGUUCCUAAAUAUCUUCCUACCCAAUGAAAUGAUGACACGUAUAACAUUUAAUGUUCAUUUAAUGAGAUUUAAUGAUAUUUUAGGAUACUAAUAUGACACAUGUCAUCAAUUAAAUGGGUAGGAAAAUUUGUAGGAUUAAAAGGUAGGAGGAUAUUUAAUUUCUCUAAAAAAAUUAUUAAAAAGUUAAAUACGAAAGGAAAUCCGGUUUAUUAUAUGUAAACAUAUAUUAUGAUAUGUAAAUUUAUUUAUUUAAAGAUAAAUUAACUAUAAACUGCAUCGAAUAAGCAAUGUAUUUGUUAUUAUUUUAUUUAUUAUAAAUAUUUCCAAAUAUUGAAUUUCGUGGAAACCUGGUUCUAUUACAAGUACUAGCAUUUAAAAUUCAGAAGGUCGGUGCCAACUGUCAAGUUGCCAAAUUAAUGAACCCAAACGGUUAUACAAAGCAGUUUGGGUAGUUAUAUCUAGCAAAUAAGGAGCUUAAAUAUCCAAAGUUUAAAAUUCAUUUUCUUUUUAUAACGAAAAAUAUUUACAUUUUUUUUAUUUAUGUAUUUAUGUGAAGGGCAAUUUUACAUAAGUUUUGGGUUACGAUUCUAAUAAAAAGAAAAAAAAAAGCUGUUGUAUUCAAGAGUCAAGACGUAAUGGACAUGAUAAAACUAGUUAAACAAUAUUUUAAAAUUUGAAGAUUCUUUAAUUAUUUAAAUUCCAUUAUGAAAAUAUAAAAGUAAGAAAAGCUUAUUCCACUCUACAUUUUCAAAACGCUUUUCAAGUAGGAGCGAGUGUUUUUGGGUGACAGACGCGAAAAGACAAAACUACCACUUGAUAAUUGAUAUAUUAUUGAUUUUCAUUUUAAUCAAUAAGAAUCCUUUAUUGUUCUAUAUAUUUGAUUAAUAAACAACCAUUCUCUUGUUACCACUAAAAAAACUUGUUUACUCUUUAAUAAACACAAAAAGACGAAAUUGCCACACCCGAAACAUUUGUUAGCGCCAUUGUCUGUCACGCUUAUGGGACAAUUCACAUGCAUAGAACAGAGUGUCUCACUUUAAAUAUAAAGUGCAAUAUUUGAAAAUAUACAAAAAAAGGGUAACCAAUUAUUUCAUCAAGAAAAAGAAUAACUUUUUAUAUCAUCACGUGUGACAUGACAUGAUUAGAUUUAUCCUAUAUAAGAUGAGAUUUAACGGUCAUCUUAUUUAUCUGGAACAAAAAUUGCAAUUUUUGAAACGCUGGUUUUACAGUCUGGAUGUUGCAAGCCACCGACAGAGUGCGGGUACAUCUACAUAAAUGAGACCGUGUGGAACCCAGUGAACGCCGCCACCAUGGCCACCAAUCUAGACUGCAACCGGUGGACCAAUGACCAAGAACAACUGUGCUACAACUGUAACUCGUGUAAAGCCGGGGUGCUUGCGAGCUUGAAGAAGAGUUGGAGGAAGGUGUCAGUGAUCAAUAUUGUUGUUUUGAUCAUCCUUGUUAUUGCAUAUGUGAUUGCUUGUGCUGCAUUUAGGAACAAUAAGAGGAUUGAUAAUGAUGAACCUUAUGGUGCUACAAGGAUGGAGAAGUCACGACCCACUCGGAUACAUUUCUAGUGUAUUUUGUUCUUGUUUGGAUUUCAAAUGAUUUUUGUUCAUUUGAUGGUGAAAUGUUGUUACUUUCGGAUAUGUUUUCAAGUUUAUGUUUUUUGGAGGUUGGAUUCGUGUAGAUAUGGUAGAUUUGUUCUUAGUUUGAAGAAAAGUUUUAAAGUCUAAAGGUGGUUUAAGGUUUUAUUGAAGAUCUUGUAACCUAGAAUAUGAUUAGACUUAAUUGAUAACCAGUUUAUUAUUUAUUUGCUAGUAUGUAUCUCAACAAAAAUACUUUACAUUCAAAAUUUUGAGGGGUUGUAGAAAAAAGUAUAUGUCAUGUAGCCCUUGCUGAUACAUCAAAGGCCAAGAUGAGCAAGACAAGCAUAGUGCUAGCACGAUAUUGUCCAAAGCCAUGAAACUGCCCAAAUACAUAAAGCCACUUGGGUCUAGUCCAGCCCAUGUUAUAGUCUAGACUCUAGAGGAAUGUCUCUUUGUAGAAUUAAUGAUAGGGUAAAAAACAACACUGUUAUGUUUAUUUUUAUAUAUUUGGCUAUUAAAUUUGUUUAUUAUGUUUACAAAAUCUUAUCAUGACUGAUUAAUGGUAAUAUUUAUAUAAAAAAUAUAAGUGAUUGAAUAUGCAUAUAUAAUAAUUUUUACACUUUCGGCCUAAGUUUUAAAUUUUUUUACGAUUUUGGUCCCCACUUUCCACUUAUGUUUUUUACAAAAUCGACUUGAAAUUAAUACUUAUUUACAAAUUAACAUUUUAUAUUUUUUUUCUUGAACUUUUUAUACAAAAAUGCAACUUUUUCUACAAACUUUUUAAUCUUCUUUUACAACUUUUUAAUUUUUUUUUUUUUUUUUUGCACUUUCUACAUUUUUUUUCAACAUUUUCUAUAAUGUUUUUUACAACCAACAUAAAAUAUAGAUCAAAUAUGGAAAUAAACCGGAAUACAUAGGACCAUCCAACACAAAAAUUAUAUUGAAACUCAUAAAAUCAACUUUGUUACAAAUGUAGAAAGAGAAAUCACACAGAUCAAAACACAUAGAAUGAGCCAACACACUUACACAUGUCAGAACUUAUAAAAAGAGAAACUAUCAAUGUGUAAUUUCUCUUUCCAUAUUCGUGACAAAGUUUGUUUAUGGGUUUCGAUCAAUUUUUUAUGUUGGUUGAUUCUAUGUGUUUUGAUUUAUUUCCAUAUUCGGUCUAUAAUUUGUGUUGGUUGCAAAACAAUUUGAAAAAUGUUGUUCUACAUGCAGUUGUAAAAGUUGUUGUAAAAAGCGUUAUAAAAAAUUGUAAAAACAUUAAAAUAAUAUUGUAAAAAAAGUGGUAAAACAUGUAAAAAAAAAUGUUAUAAAAAAGUUGUAAAGGAAAUUAAAAAGAUUUCUACAAAAAGUUGUAAUUUUUCUAUGAAAAUUUCAAACAAAUUAGUUUCUAAACAAAAACCAAUUCCAGGGUGAUUGUGUAAAAGAAAAUUGAUUGGAAAGCUUGGACCAAAAUCAUAACAAAAUUUAAGGAUUUUGACAAACAUGUAAAAUUCAUCUUGUGUACUCAUUUUAUCACUUAUGUUUUCAUAUACAUAUGACCAUUGAACCUAUAAUAAGAGGUCAUAAUGACAAUUUGUAAACAUGAUAAACAAGUUUAAUAGUUAUAUAUGUAAAAAAUAAAAAAAAAAAUAAAAAAUAAGUGUCUAAAUAAUGUACAUAGAGCAUAAAGUUUAUUACCCUUAUAUGUCAUCGAUAACCACUAUUUGUAUUGAAUUUCUUUUGGUUUUCUUGUACUUUUGUAUUUCGUAAAAGGUCGGUGUGCUAUUUCUUUUUUUAUUUAAUUCAGUUUUAUGUUUAUGUUAUUAUUCUAAAAAUUCAUAUCUUUCGCUUAAAUAAGACAUAACAUUAGGGAUGAGCAUACGACCCGUUGGAUCGGACUGGACAUAAAAAAAAAUCGGGACCAGGCCCGGACCUGACUGGAUAUUCAUAUUAGUGGGCCGGUUUUCGAGUUUUGUUUUUACCAAUAAUCGGGUUUCGGAUUUGGACCGAACCGUACCCGGAAGAUGGGAUUUAACCCUAACCGAACCAGAAAACAUUUUCACCUUAAUUACUUUUAUAGAUAUUAGCUUAAGUUUAAAAUAUAUAAAUAAUGAUGUUGAAUUAUUAAUUAAUGUUAUAUUACAAGAUUUCUAAAAUGUAAAAUCUUUAUUAUCGGAAAUAAUUUGGCCAACCAAACAUUGUAAUGUACUUAUUGUCAAAUGUAUGUAUGUAAAGGUCAAUGAUUUAUUACAAGUUAUUUUAGUAUUGUCAUCUAAACCCAUCAAACGUUUUAGUAUGAUAAGAUUGUAUGUGUAAGAAUUUGAUGAAUCUGAUCCUUAUGUUGUUUCUCAAAGUAGCUAAAUCCAAAGAUUCUAUGAGCUCUUAAGAUAAAUUGUGUGUUUCAUUUUGCACGUAUUUUCAACUUUCAGACGUUCUGCUUGUAGUAUGGUUCAUAAGAAAGUUCGAGAUCGUUUUUUUAUAAUUAUUUUAGAAAUAGAAACUCAUAGUAGACGUUACUGCUAAUAGUUGGAUAAGUGAUAAUUUUUUAAUAACUGUAAAAUACUUGAACUGAUUUUCGCUCUAAUGUAACUCUUAAAUAUUGGCUUAAUCACUAAAAUGGACAAAAUGGAUAAGUGAGUAUUGUUUUGGACUUUUUUUAAACAUUUUCAUCUGAUUAACAUAAUGUUAGCUAACAUAUAGAGGUUAAGGAUAAUUUAAUAAUGUUGGUUUUUAGCUAACAUAUAGAGGUUAAGGUUAAUUUAAUGGAGUUGGUAGAAGAAGGAAUAGUAGGAAUAGUAGUAGUUGAGAUGGCUCUUAAAACAAAAGAUUUAUGGAAGAAAAUGACCUUAGGCCAGGUAACUUUAGUUUUAUCAUUGUAUAAUUUUCAUCUAUUAUCCAUCAAUCAUGUCAUUAAAUAAGUUAGAUAUUUGUGUCAUUAACAUAAUAUAGAUUGUCACAGAUGUUUUGAAAGCCAAAAUGUUUUAUUGUAAAGACAUUUAAUACAUAGUUAAAAAUGGGAAAGCUGCUUAGUAUUUGUGUUUCUGUGUCCUGAACUGCUAUUGAUGUUUGCAUGACCACUAGGCAUCAUCUAUUUGCAUUUGCAUCUUUCGUAUAACAUCAUGCAUUUUCAUGUAUCUUUUGUUUACCAUCUGUAGCACAUAAGGUCUUAGUAAUUUGGAUCGUAUGUGACUACUUUUAGGACAUUUAGUGUCAAUUAUUCUCAUCAAGAAUACAUACAUGCCCGAUUUAAACCCUUAGGAAGUGAGUUGAUUAUUUUCAUUUUGCUGUAGAGUUACAAAGAAGUAAUAUAUCCUUAUAUGUCAUUAUUUUCUAAAAAGUUCAGUGUCUAUUUUCUAAUUCAAUCCAAAACUCGAAACGUGGUUUAGACUCGGAAUUGGACCGGAUCGAAUUCGGACUCGAUAUACCCAAAAACGGUCCGAUUUUAGGUAAGAUAAUUCACAAUUUUUGGUCUUCAGGUCGGUCCGGUCUGGAUCCGGCCCGUUGCUCAUCCAUACAUAAUACCAAACAAAUAUACGGAAAACCGAAUACNUUGGCAUAAAGGGCAUAACAAGUUAGGCUUCGGAUAAAACUAUAAUUUGAAUAUAUAUAUAUAUAUAGGGAGAUGAUCAAAUGAGAACACCUAAAAGGUUGAGAACGCGAGAACAAUUGUAGACCAAUCAUUCCAUAAGGGCAUAAAAGGAAUUUUACAAUGUAAUUAAAUAUAGAUGAUUAAUGAUUUCCUACAAUCAUGAGAUGUUGUCUAAUUAAUUGAUUUUUUACCUAAAUAUUAUAAAUGAAUUUAAUAUGUUUUUAAUCAAAUAGAUUAUUUAAAAAAAAAACUUUUUUACCAUGAUUAAAAAACGUUUUUUUUGCCGGUAUAUCAAAAAAAUUUGAUGAAUUUAUCAUUUCAACCAAAUAUGUGUAAUCAUACAAAAAUAAAACAUAUUUGUAAUCAUAUAUGAAUCCGCUGUAAUCAUGAAUGAAUAGAUGAAUUAAGUUGUAAUAAUAAACGAAUAUAACGCAAUUUAUAGAGAAAAAUUACAAUACAACUAUAAUCAUAAAUAAAUAAAAACAUAUUGGAUAUAUAUCUAGAUUAUACAUCUAUUGAUAAAUAAUAGUAACACAAAAAGUUACAAUGUAAUACAUAUCUAUUUUUCUAUAAUCACAUAUGAAUACAACAUAAACAAAAAUUCGAAUAAAAAUAAUUAACUAUUAUUAUAUAAUCAAAAAUGAAUAAGGCGAUAAAUUUUCCACUUUGUAUUGUUUGGUUGUAUAUUAGCACUCCAACAUCCCGUUUGUAGAUGCAUCUCGAUUUCCUCUACACACUGUCAAAUAAAGAAAUAAAUAAAAUUAACAAUCAAUUAAAUGAAAAGGAUUUAGAAAAAAAAACAUAUGACAUCAAAUUAUAAAUGAAGAGACACAAACAAAAUAAAAAAUACAUAUAAAUUCCUAUAAUUGUAACUAUAUACAUACAUGAAUAUAUCACAUAUUAAUACACUUCUAAUCAUAAAUUAAUAUGAGACAUGAACAAAAAAUAAUAUACAUAUGAAUUCCUAUACUUGUAAUUAUAUUCAUACAUGAAUAUAUAUAUAUAUAUAUAUAUAUAUCAUUAACAAAAAAUGAAUACACUUCUAAUCAUAAAUUAAUAUCAUAAUAUAAAUUACCUUUGGUUCUAAAAUUGUUUGAUUCCCAUAAAUCUUUUAUCUCAUUCGAGAAACAACUGAGAAGAAGUGAAGGGAAAACAAAAAAUAACUCACCUGCAAAAGCAAUGCAUAAAACAGUUAAAUCGAGUCCGACUUCGGGAGAUGUGAAUCCGAUUUCUCUGCAAGUUAUACGGACGAUUUUCUCGUAAUCAACGUUAGCUUUGGUGGUGAUUUCACUGGUGGUUGUCGAGGCCAACACAAAUAAUAACCUUAAAUAUUACACACUAAAAUAGUAUAUAGUGGUAAAGGGAUCGAAUCCACGGAGAUUGGUUCAAUUUAUAACUCUAUGAAAAAUCUCUUUGUAAAAAUACUUAUAAAAUAACAAUAAAAAUAAAAUAGAGGGAUUUGGUGUUUUGAAAUACUUGAAACAAGCUAGAAUUAACUAUGAUUUAAAUAGACAAAUGCAACAAAAAUAAGAGUUUGAUGUAAAAUCAAUAAGGGAGAGAUGGUUGACUUAACGCCUUGUUCCCGAGUUCCACUUAAGGAGAGAAAUGGGAGGAUACGGAGGGAAAGUGAGGGGUGUCGAAGGAAAAUCGUGUUCCCGAGUUUCAUUAAUGGAAGGAAAGUGAGGGGAGGGGAAGGAUUUUAGAGUCAUAUUUUCCUUCCAAAUUUUCCUCCCAAAUUGGGCGGAUUUGGGAAGAAAGUGAGGGGAAGGAAAAUUUUAAGUUUUAUUUUCUUUUUCCUCCUGACUCGGGAACACAAAAACUAAAAAUUUUCCUUUCAUUUUCUUUCAGUUCCUUCGAACUCGGGAACACAGAAUAAUUAAUAUUUUCCUUCACCUCCCUUUCUUUCUGUCAAAAUUUUCCUUCCCUUUCCUUUAAUGAAUUUACAUAAAAACUCGGGAACAAGGCGUAAAGUUUCCUCACUUUGACUUUUGAUGAACAUAUCAUUAGAAUCCAAUGGUGCAAUACUUUGAUUUUAAUCCUUAAUUUGGCUAUAGCAAUCCAAGGAGCUUGAGAUUACCUAGACUUUUCUUAAUUUUUGAAAUGGCUNGGGGUACACCUCAUGGAUGAUAUGAUUGACUUAUCAUUAGACUUAAUGGAAUAAUACUUGUGAAUUGGUUUAACUUGGCUAUAGCAAUUCAUAAGCACAAAUUGCCUCAACUCUUCUUAGAAAUUAAAAUGGUUAGAGGAGCUCUUAACACAUUUCCUUAAUUGAAGUCACAAAAUCAAUGAAGCAUAAAAUCUUGUGAAAAUCAAUUAGCUUUAAGUUGUAAGAGUUACCAAGUCCAAAAGAUAAUCAAAUGCUUACAUUAUCAUUAUGGAGGAAACAUUUCCAUGGUCUAAAUGAAAUGAAAACAAACAUAUAAACCACUUGUUGCUUACUAAUUUGAAGGUCUAUUACUUAACCAAGAAAUUAGUCAACAAAAACAAGCAUUCAUUCAUCCAAGCUCAUGAUCAAAGAUAAAUAAACACAACAAGAUGUUUAACUAGAAAACAUUCCCAUAAACAUCAAACACAAAUGUAAUGAUAAGUCUUCAAAGCAAAUAAUCAUCCAUGGGUUAAACCCUAAUCAACCAAAUGAAAAUUUAGCCAAGCAUGGCCAAUGUAAAAGAAAAACAAUAUAGUUUAGUGGUAUCAAACAUUGUCUUAGAUGCAAGAUGAAAUGAAAUUACACUAAUCUUCCAAAAAUUCUUCAAAUCUUCCAAAACUCUUUGAGAGAGUAUGGUGUGUGUUCUUCAAGUCCUCUCCUUCCUUCUUGCUUCAAAACUCCAGUAAAAGUGGUCAAAAAUCGGAUCCAAAAUUGCCCAAAAGUAUUCCACCAACUUUCCCCAAAUAGAGGCAAAAGGCUAAAAUUCGGGUUCUUCACAAUGCGAUCCACGCGGACCGCGUGGAUUCUGUUGAAUGGGCUUUUUGGCCCAUUUAAUUGGCACUUCUAGAUUACUCUUCUCAUCUAUGGUCCAUCCCGUUUGUGCAAGUUCUUGAUAGCCCAAUUAUGUCUUCCAAACUCUUCCAAGAUGCUCCAAUGCUCCUUUAAUCUUCUGUAGCUUGAAUUCUCGUCGUCCCACCCGAAAUUUAAGUCUGACGUGCUUCUUGCUUAUAUUGACACCAAGCCCAAUUACACCACUUCAAGUCCAUGAACAAAUUGCAAGCCUCCAAUAGUCCCACACUCCUUCCAAAACCUCCAAUGACAAAUAGUCUUCGAUUAAUCCUGCAAAUAAGCUCAAAAGACUAGAAAGCACCCGGUAAAGGAGAAAAAUAACAAAAAGAGAAAAUAUGCAUGAAGAUUAACUAAAAUGAGAUGGAAUGUGCUACAAUAAACCAUAAAAAGAAGUAAGUAGAACAAACUAUCAAAACACCCCAAGCUUAAACCUUACUUGUCCUUAAGUAAGACAAGACUAAAAUGAACUUGGGAUGAACUAUCCUAGCGAAAAAUAAAAAGAAUUGAUAGAACCGCGGAACCUUUUCACCGUUAGUCAACAUGGUCAGAAUUGAUCUUGCUAUUACCUCACGAAUUUUUCAUCCGAUGACAAUGGAACCAUAAACCACAGCCAGGACAACUCCUUUAAGUGAGUAAGGAGGGAUGAGCAGUCGUAGCCUCAAUGGAACAUGCAUACAAUGAAGAACAUCUGUAGUAGGGAGAAAGCAUCUGGAUGGGCUCGAUCGGGUGGAGCUCUUCUUUAAAUGUACACUCUGAUCUCACGUCUGUCGGUUUCUCUCAUGUGUAACUAGGUUUAAUCGCUCAGGCACAGUUCUAGGAAUCGGUUCACUUGGUGUUGGCCCAAACCUCCCGUAGUAUCCGACUCGACAGCCUCCUAACAUCACCAAUUUGCGAAAAACAACUCGAUCUAAAUACAAUAAAUUAAACCUAUACAAAUGAAUAUCAAACGCCGAGUGAUCAAAAUGUUGGAAAAUUUUGUUCAAUAAUUGAACCGGUCAACCUUCUCAGAUUUCUAUAGCUGGGAAUUUGCCUGCCCUUUUUGUUUUUGUUUUUAACUUUUUAUUUUAUUUUAUUUUUUUGAUUUUUUUUGACUUUUUUUUUAAUUUCCAUACUUGAAGGUAAUGUAUUAACAAUCGAAAUUUUUAACAAGAAACACAUUUGACUCAAAAUUUAGUUCCUAAAAGUGUGUAAGUGGAACCGAAAGGGUAGUAAUAUAAUCCGAAUGGUCUAAGUGUGAAAAUGACCAUGUGUGGAGCAUAAAGAUGCAAUGUAAGCUCCUUUUCAAACUUGUGGUUUUUCAAAGAUAAUGAAAAUGUCCAAAUGUGGACUAAAAGACUCUCUAAAAUUCUAAGAAAAUCACAAAAAGAUAUGGUGAUGUAAAGAGACCAGAUAUGGAUUCGACUCGGGGACAAGCACCAAUGCUUCAUCCUAACAGUUCAACCAUGAUCAAGUGUGAUCCUCUCAGCGGUAGUGACCGCAAGGCUAAGAACAUCCAUUGCUAUAAUAUAUCCUACAGUUGUUAGUAUUGUAUGCAUAAUUUUUUAUGAAACUACCUGGCCAUGAUCACUUACCCCUUUAAGCUACCACNAUGAAAAUGUCCAAAUGUGGACUAAAAGACUCUCUAAAAUUCUAAGAAAAUCGCAAAAAGAUAUGGUGAUGUAAAGAGACCGGAUAUGGAUUCUACUCGGGGACAAGCACCAAUGCUUCAUCCUAACAGUUCAAACAUGAUCAAGUGUGAUCCUCUCAGCGGUAGUGACCACAAGGCUAAGAACAUCCAUUGCUAUAAUAUAUCCUACAGUUGUUAGUCUUGUAUGCAUAAUUUUUCAUGAAACUACCUGGCCAUGAUCACUUACCCCUCUAAGCUACCAGCAUCUGAUCCCAAGUAUGAAAUCCCAAACUGCAGCUAGUGGUCCCGGUUCGAUGGAUGACGUAGCAACAAGAUUCUGGACCAAUAAUGAUACAAUAACUGUGAACCUGUUCCAUGGCAUCCAAGAGAGGUAAGAAUAAACAGACAACAAAAAUGCAAGAAUGUUAAUGCCUUAAGCUCAAUGUUGUGCAAAAAUAAAAAGCGGAAAAAGAAGAAAAUAAAAUCUUUUUGAAAUUUUAUAAAAUAAAAAAUGAAUGCAAAUUAACUUAAACUAAUAUAUUAUGCAACCUAACUAAAGAAAAAUGCAUGAAAAAUUAAAAAGAAAGGGAAAUGCCCCACCCCAAGCUUAAGAACAAGCAUUGUCUUCAAUGCUUAAGGAAAUGGCCAAAAUGACCUAAAUCGGAGGGUUGGGUAGAGCAUAAGGGUUUGUAGAGGAGGGAAAAUGGUGAAUAAUGGUGGUGGUCUCGUGGGAUUCCGACCGGUAGAUCUUUGGGAAAUCGAGUUUUUGUGUGGAGCGCGGGCGGGGCGCGGGCCGCGUAGAGGCCGCGUGUAACAUUCUUGGUUUCCUCUUGAGUUCACAGAAGGUUCAGAAGAAUUUUGGGUCAAAACACGCGGGCCGCGUAAAGGCCGCGUGAACUGAAGCUCAAAAAAUACUAAGUGUUGAAACCAGCCCCGCGGGCCGCGUGGAACCCGCAUGCUGGCCGCGUGUGCUGAACAGGGCUAGAGGUGAUUGUUUUACGCGGGCAAGGAAUGGGCCGCACAUAAGCCGCACAUGACCUUAUGCGGGCCGCGUGGAUUUUCCCGCGGGCCGCGUGACUUCUUGCACCUUAAAAUUUGAAGUUUUUCAAAAAACUUGAUUUUUGUCCUAAAUGAUUCCCGCGAAGUCCCGGUUUCAAAAACACAAUAAAAGGUUUGGACCAAAGGUGAGAAUAAAGCUUGAAAUUUUUCAAAAAUGAACAUUUUCAAAACAAAAAAAAAUCAAAAUCAUUUUAUUCGGUUUUUAAAAGACGAAAGCACAAUGCUUCCCAAAAAUGUCAUUCUUUAACGUCUUUGGCGAGACGCCUCCAAACUUCACUUUAACACUUUGGGGCAUCCAAAUGGACGACAUCUUGGACAUUUGAAUCAAAACCUUCAUAGAAAGGUUUCAACCGAUGUCCAUUAACAUUGAAAAUUUGCCCCGUACCAACAUUUUUUAGUUUCCACACCUCCAUUGGGACUCUUUUCUUGUAUUUGACUUUCUUUUUACGGGAGAACCAUACCGGACUUAGACCUUUGAUAAUAGAAAGCAUCCAACCAUAUUCUUUAUUGUACUUGUUUAGUAAGGUGACCAACUCUUCCAUCUUUGACAUGGUGGUCAAGUUGGUGACCGGUUGGGCGUCUUCAUUCUCGACAUAUGUAUCCUUUAAAGGGUCCGACAUAUUUAUCAUUCCCGGCUCUUGUGGUUGGUCUACCACUGGAGUUAGUUUCUCAAUGGUAGUGGGUGGCUCAACCUCUCUUUUGUUAACACCCAACACUUCCUCUAUAGUUUCAUUGACAUCUUUCUCAAUUUCUUCUUCCUCCUUGAUAACUUCUUCCAUUUCUAUGCCUUCUUCCUCUUCUCCAUAUAACACUCUUGGGCCAUCAAAACUUUUUUCAUCUUUCAAAGGAAUGGCACAUGGGCUCUCUUUAGAUGGUAGUUUGUCUUGAUCUUCCAUUAUACUUAUUGUUUGAGCAAGUUGUGUUAUUUGUAGCUCUAAGCUUUUGAGGCUAUCUUGCGUUGUUUCUAGGAAAUUUUGGGUAGAUGUGGUAAUGCUCUUCACAAUGUCCUAUAAGGACAUGCUUGGCAUUUUAGGUUGUUGAGAAGGUGGAGGAUACGGAUGUUGGAACUGUGGAGGUUGUUGGUAUUGGUCACUUUUCCAACCUUGGUAUGAGCUUUGGUAUUGGUUGUAUCCCCAAGCUUGGUUGUUGUCCCACCAUUGAUCAUGUUGAGGUUGAUCAUAACUCCAUUGGUUUGACCAGUAGUAGCUUCCCUUCUCUUGCACUUCUUCCCAUUCUCCUUGUAAAUAUGGACACAUGUCGGAUUGAUGUCCAUUUUGGGCACAAAAAUCACAAAGAAGAGGUGUGGGUUGCACACUUUGGUCAUUUUCAAUCAUCAUAACUAACUGAGCUAGCUCAGAAAGUUUAUCUUCAAUACAAGGAGUGUUCAUUCCCGAACCACACUUUUUUCUUCAAGUUUUUAGUUUUAAACUAGAGUACAUGCACAAUGAGAUCUAGGCAUAGAGAAACAAACUGAUUAAAUCAAAACCAAUCCCCGGCAAUGGCGCAAAAAAUUUGGUGGUUGUCGAGGCCAACACAAAUAAUAACCCUAAAUAUUACACACUAAAAUAGUGUAUAGUGGUAAAGGGAUCGAAUCCACGGAGAUUGGUUCAAUUUAUAACUCUAUGAAAAAUCUCUUUGUAAAAAUACUUGUAAAAUGACAAUAAAAAUAAAAUGGGGGGUUUUGGUGUUUUGAAAUACUUGAAACAAACUAGAAUUAACUAUGAUUUAAAUAGACAAAUGCAACAAAAAUAAGAGUUUGAUGUAAAAUCAAUAAGGGAGAGAUGGUUGACUUAAAGUUUCCUCACUUUGACUUUUGAUGAACAUAUCAUUAGAAUCCAAUGGUGCAAUACUUUGAUUUAAAUCCUUAAUUUGGCUAUAGUAAUCCAAGGAGCUUGAGAUUACCUAGACUUUUCUUAAUUGUUGAAAUGGCUAGAGAAGCUCAUAACAAUUUCCUUAGUCAAAGUCACUAAUUCCAAAUAGCAUGUAAUUAGUGAAAGUCAACUAGCAUUAAGAACCAAAAAGUCACCAAAUCCAAGAGGGGUCAAAUGCUUUCACCACCAUGUUGGAGGAAAUGUUUUUAUGAUUGUGUGAAGCAAAAACAACACAAAAAUCAUUUGUUGCUUGCUAAUUUGAGGAUCAUUUACUUAAUCAAGAAAUUAGCCAACUAAUCACCACAAACAUAUUUAAACUCGUGAAUAAAAACAUACUAGUAGUGAUAAUAUGAUAAAACACAAAACAAUUCCAUAAAGAUUUAAGAACAAGUUCAUGGAUUCUUCAACAUCCAACAAAAGUUCAAAAGAUUCAACAAAAAGUCAACCAAGAUUUGUUUAGCCAAGCAUGGCUAAACUUAAAUGAACAAAGUUAGAUAAGAUCGUACCAAACAUUUGACAAGAUUCAAGAGAUGAAAAGAAGAUAUUCUUCAAGUGUUCUUGAGGUGUUCUUGGCCUUCAAAAGCACUCCAAACUCCAGAGAGAACAAGUCAAACUCGGACCUUCAAGAUCAGGCUAAAGAGGCACAUCCACCUUCCCAAUAUAGAGCUCUUAGCAAAAUCCCGAAAUUGCCCUUGUCAGGAAUCCACGCGGGCCGCGGGGAAUCUUACGCGGGCCGCGGGCUCUGACGGGUAAUUUUGGGCUUCUUCAAGUUUUGGGCCCCCACAGCUAAUCCAUUGGCCCAGUUCGAGUCCAAUCAGCUUCUAGUCCAUUUUUCUUCAAUAUUUCUUCAAUUUGAGCCCAAUUUGUCUUUCCGCAUCACUCAAAACUUCCGCAAACUCCUAAACAUCGAUCUUGCACACUCAAGAAUUUUCCCGUGCCUUUCAAAUUUAAAGUUCAACACUUCCAAGCCUUCAAGCAACUGACAAGUCCACUCCAUGAAUCACCUCCAUAGCCAUUAAGCACGAAAUCCCCAUUUCCCUUCAAGCCCAAUCGCCUCCCAAGAGUCCCGCUCAGCUAGUCUCCAAUAAAAUCUGCAAUAAUGCUCAAGAAACUAGAAAGUACCCCGAAAUGGUCAUAAAAAUAACAAAAGGGAAAAUAUGCAUGGAAAUUAACUAAAAUGCGAAUGAAAUGUGCUAAAAUAAACUAUAAAAAGAAGUAAAUAAAAUGAAGCUAUCAUUCACCGAAGACCAUGACCAUGUUGGUUUUGGUGCAGGUUUCACAGGCGACUUUGCUUUCCGGGUCUUGUUCUAGACAUGCGUCUAGAAUGGCGUCUGAGACUUGAUCGCAGAGCUUGUCUGGGUGGCCUUCGUUCACGGAUUUUGAUGUGAAUAGGAAGGUUUCCAUCUCUGUGAUAAUAAGAGUUCAAUUAGAAACGAAUGAAAUCCAGGCAAUUUUCUCAUAUGAUUUUUGAACGAAUGUAUCACAUUAGGAUCAUUAUUGAAGUGAGAAACUAAUCAGGCAGUUUCCUUAUCACAGAAUUCAGUAAAUCAUCUGUGGUUUUGGUGUGGUUUAUGCGUUAUACCACGAAAUACAAUAGAUACGAUGUUCGAUUAACAACUUCAGUAGAGGAAAGAACAUGAUCUACUUGUAAAAGAGGCUAUUUAACAUAAUCAUACUUAAAAAUUCGUGAAAAACGACCGAACAGAAUGUUCAAAAUGUACAGAGAUCUCGCUCUUCGAAUCAAACUUCAACAAUUUGUAAAGCAUCAGAAAGAACAGUUUAUCAAUGUGAUUUAUCACAUGAAGAUUUUAAAUUUAUAUACAAAAACCUAAGAGAAAUUUCCACAAUCAAGACUAACAAACCGCAAAUUCAGGAAAUAAAAAGUCGAUUAUCAGGAUAAAAAAAAAACCAAAUUUCAGAAUAUAAACACGCAAUUGAAUCGAAUAACAGUAGCAAAUCGAACGUACCUUUCUUUGAUCGGGAUCUGUAGAGAUAUGGGGAAGAAGCGAUUGUGAGUCGGUUGGAUUGAUUUGAAGCAGAUGAAGCAUGGAUGAGCCGAUGAGGAGGCAGAACUAACCAUGAAGCCCUAGGUAUCCAAGGGAGAAAGAAAAAGACGAAAAUAUGAAAGGAAAUAGAUGAGAAUUGAACAUUUUUAGCAGUUAGCUAAAGUUUUAAUUAUUGUUGUACCCUUAUGACAAUUUUAAAAUUACACUUUAAUUCCUUUAAUUUUAAGAAUUUACAUAAAUGGCCCAUUCGAUAAUAACCUUAGAUUUAGUUUUUUAAAUGGUUCAGAUUUGUUCUCGCGUUCUCAACCUUUUAGGUGUUCUCAUUUGAUCUUACUCAUAUAUAUAUAUAUAUAUAUAUAUAUAUAUAUNCUAGGCGGUCUGCAACUGAUUACGAGUAGGGGUGCUAGGCGGAAAUUGGUCAAUAUCGGUCAAACUCGGGCUAGGCAGUCCUCGGCGGUCCUUGGCGGGAAGAUUUUAAAAAAUUCAAAUUUUCAAAUAUUACACCAAAUUUUGCAAAAUUUCAAAAUUUUAAAUUUANUGACUUAACACCAACCAAGUUCAAGUUUUUCAACCCUUAGCACUAAUAUGUACUAAGGCUAAGGAGAAAGAAAGUGAUUUGUUGCAUCUUUUCUUAUCUUGAAAAAGUCUUAAAAAGAAGAGAUUUCUCUGUUAUGUUAAAUAAACGAGUUUGCUUCUUUAUUCUUAGUUUACUCUUAGUAGAUUCAUUGAAUAACUUCUAGUCUUUUUCUAUUCUAUUUUUAUAUAAAAGAGUUCCAAGUACCAUAGCAUUGCUAGUUCAGACUAAGAUUAUAAAACCUUCAAUAUAGUUGAAUCGUUAGAUGAAUGUUCCCGAUAUUGACAAUCUUUCAUAGGAAGUGUUGUCAUCUCUAUCUUCCAUCAUCCAUUCCCUGUAAUUAGUCCAUGCCUAACAUCCUACUGCUGGAAUCCAUUCCACCUGUCCUAAUCUAUUCUUACCUUCAAAGAACAACAACAACCUAACAACAUAGUAAGAUAGGUUGAAGUUGUUGGGGAGAUAGAGGCUGAGACUACUCAAUAUUUAUCCUCAUUGGACUCAAGGAAAAGGAGCUAACCCGGAUGCAAAUCCUAGAAAACUAACUAACCUCGGCAUGGAAGCCAACUUCCGAAACUGCAGGAGAAUUGGGACCCUUGCUUCGCUUCGCACCUCGUCAUAGCCUUGAAAAUCUCACUCGGAGUUAUAGUUAGAGAAUGGGAUAUGAUUAACUACUUACCUACUGCUACAUGGGAGUCUUUCCUCGGGAGAUCAAAGAAGGUAUACUAUUAGACAAGGUUCAUUUUUGCUUAGCUGCUUUGCUGUUCUUUUUUUUUUUUUUUUUUAUCAAAGAUAGCUAUUCCUUUGCUUUGAUGCUUUCUGUGCCUUUAUGGGACUUAUAGUGGAAUAAAGGUCCCGGACCUCAUCCACGAGACUAACCAAGUCUCAUGAUCUAGGGAUCACUCCCUCGAUGCCAACCUAGAGAGAUGGGUAGAAAGUAGCUAAUAGUAUUGGGUGCCUUACCUAUCCUACAUAUUAGUAAUCCACAUUAGCAGUAGGGUAGAAAGGUCAUCCUAAAUAUGAAGAAAACAGAAAUCGUUGUAUUCCCCUAAAGUAAUCGUUCGUAUGAGAAUAAGUAGACUAGUGAUUCAAUUGAAAAAGACCUGACUCCCUCAGAUUGUACAUCUCAGGUUCACAAGAUUCUCUCUCAAAGAGACAUGAUCAGAAAGCAGUGACGAGGGGUCGGGGAAGAUGCAAAGAGCAGAAAUGACGAAAACAGCUUUUCGAUAGGCCUAUACACCAUCUUCAUUAGACUUUAGUUUACUCUUUUCUUUUUCUUUAGAUGAUGACAAACGAACUGAAAACUACGAAUGCUUCUAAUUAAUUGAAUCUUAUUUUAGAAUCCAAUUUUAUUUUAUAUAUAUAUAUAUAUNUAUAUAUAUAUAUAUAUAAAGCAGAGUGAUGUCUUUAUGACAAUUCGUCAAGUCUGAUCCUCAAAUUCUUACCUUGACCAGGAAAACCUCGAUGACAUAAUCGCUUAUAGUCACUCACUGGAGGUUUGGAACCCUGAGUAUAGUGUUCCGGGAUAUAUUAAGUUUUAUAAUAGUUUUAUUAGUAAUUUAUGGUCCCCGAUUAAUCCUCCGAUUAAUCCCCACCAAACCGAUUAAUCGCUUGACCCCAGUCGGCCGUCGAGCUAACGCCGAACGAUUUUUACAACCUUGAUAUUAACCCCAAACAAAAUACAAUACACUGUAAAAUAAAAUAUUAACCCCAAACCCUAAUUAAGAGUUAUAAGAACCAUAACUGAUGCAUAUCGAGCGAUACACAUCUACUGAGCCAUAAUGGAACAUUUAUUGGCAUAUAAAACGUAUAUGUGUUAUUAAUACUUUUAUCAGGGCACGUUUAAAUUCUGGAAAUUUUAGAAAAUCAUCAUUGACAUGACAACUUUUGUAGAUUGUAUCCUGGUAAGUGAUAGCUUUUAGAUUUCUUCUUCACCUUUUUAUUGGCAUAUAUCUUCACAAUCAAAGAAAUACACAAAUUAAAACAUAGUACUGUGAAUAUAAAAAUAUAAAACACGAAGAACUUGUCCGAUUAUUACAUCCAAGGACAUUCGACUUAAAAAUGCCUUUUGGCCUAGACCACCCACAUUCAUGACCACAGCUAACCCAACAAUUUCAUUAACAAAAAUAUUUCCUUUUUCCUCUAUGUACACAAACCAAUCAAAUCGUUUUUAUCAACUUGGUUAACAACCAAUCUCAAGCUAACUUAUUUACAUUAUAAAAUAAUAAAAUAUAAUAACAAAAAAUAUCAAUAUAAGUGUAUGUUUGUAGAGAAAAAUAUUAUGAAUAUCAUACUAUUUUGUUUAUUUAUUUUAACAAAAUGUCGUCUAACCUAUAAAUUACAGAUUUUGGUUAAUAAAAAUCAAAUUUAGACAACUAGGAAAGUUCCAAGUUACAUGAACAUUGUAUCUGAGAUUUUUGUUAAAUAAUUUUUGUUUAUUGGUGAUCAAACAUUGUUUGAUUGCUGAUGAUAGUAGUCUUAUACCCCUUGAAAUAUAACAAUCAGAUAAACAUGUUUUGAAAUUUCUAAUAGAUAUGUUCAAAAUUAGCACUCCAAGCUCCGAAAACCAAAUAACAUAUUUGGAGGGUGUUUGGGUUAACUUUUAAAAUGACUUUUGACUUUUAUCUUUUAGAAAAAGUCAAAAAGAUGUCUGGUUAAGUGAAAAUGACUUUUGUAAAUGACUUUUCCAAUAGAGUAAAUUGAGCCUUUUUGAAAAGUCACGAUUACGUGACUUUUUCUAACUUUUCAACAGCUAAAAAUAUUAAAUUAUCAAUAUACCCCUUAUCUACCCUAAUUAAUUCUUCAUUCACAGCGUAUUCCCUACUCUCUCGUUCUCUCUGUCACUUUCUUCUCUCUCGCAUCUCGAUCGUUCCUGCAACACCGACGACCUGCAACACCUGCAACACUAGCGACCUGCAACACUGCAACAUUGGCGUCUUCUUUCUCCAUCUCCGAUCAGGUUUGUUAUCUUUCCAGUCGAUUUCCGAUCUCCGAUUUUACAAAAUCUUCCUGUCUAUUUUCCAUUUUUCAGUAGCAAAGAAAUGUAGUUUUUGAAUUUUCCUUGAACUAUUCUGUGAUUUCUUCCUCCCGAUUUCUGAAAUCGAUAUGUUGUGAUUUGUUCCUCCCGAUUUCUGAAAUUCAUAUGCUGUGAAAUAGUGAUUAUUCUGUGAACUUGAUGAAAUAUGGAUUAAUAAUUAGUGAAAUUGAUGAAAUAUGAGGCUGAUGAAUUUUUUUUUCAGGGAUGAUAUUUGUGUUAACAGGUAACCAAUUUGUGAAACUGAUAUUUUGUGAUAUUCUAUUUUUUCUGUUUUGAUUAGAAUUCUGAUAAAUUAAUGAAAUCAUUUAGGAGGGUUAAUGAAAUUGAUUUGUUGUUUAAAUGUUGAUACUAUAUGUAAUUCACAGAUAAUGGAUGAAAACAACACUACAAUUGUUGAUUGUGAAACAUCUUUAAAAAUGAAAAAACCAAAAUUUGGGUGGGAUAAUCGUAGUUUCAUGGUGUUUGUUGAUUCGUGCUUGAUUGAACAGAAAAAAGACCAUAAACCCCGUACCUCCUUUGAUAAAGUUGGGUGGGAAAAUAUACAAAAAUGCAUUAAGGAGAAAACAGGUUACAGCCUUGAAAAAAACAACUAACAAACAAAUGGGAGAACAUGAAAAAAACGUGGAAGCUUUAUGACCGCUUAAUGAGGCUUGAAAUCAAACUCGGUGGGACGAGAAACCUAGUAGAUGUAGGGAUGUCAAAAAGUCUCGUGGGACCCCAUUCCCGUGGGGACCCCGUACCGUUUGGGGAUUUUUUUUUUAAAUAGAUCGGGGGCGGGGACGAGGGCGGGGGCAAGGUUAACCCCCGUUUUAAUUUCGGGGGCGGGGGCGGGGAUAGACAAUCCCGUCCCGAAACCCCCAUGGAGACCCCGUUAAUAAAUUACACAUAUAUUUACAUAUAUUAAUUAUAUAAAUAUAAUAAACAAUAACAUGAUUUUGAGCUUCCAAAAUUCAACAAAAAAACAUGUUUUUAAGUUAGUAUAAUGUUUUUAAGAUGUCAUAACUUUUUUUGAUUUUUAACAUGUAAAAUUCCAAUAUAAAUAAAUAUUUGUUAACUAAAAAAUAGUUUCUUUUAGCCCAAAAAAAGGUGACCCAAAAUAAACCCAGGGCAGGGACAGGGACGGGAGAAUGAGAAAAUUUCGGGGGCGGGGGCGGGGGAUGCACUCCCCGUCCUGUUUGCCCCCGUUGACAUCUCUAAGUAGAUGCGUCGCGUGAGUGGUGGGAGGAGAAAAUAAAGAUAUGAUUACUAUUCUUUUUAAUUAUUUUAAGUUAUGAUUACAUAUAGAUUGAACAUAUUUGAUUUACAAUAUCUUUUUGUCUUGCAGGAGAAUAAAGAUUAUGUCAAAUUUAGGAACACAUAUUUGAGCAUAUUUGAUGAGAAAUAUGCUACUUUGUUUCGGGAUUCUGUUGCCAUUGGAGAUCAGACUAUGACUCCAUUACAAUUUCAAAACAAUAGCAAUCCAAACGAAGAAAAUAUGGAGGGCGAAGGAGAUAGUGAUGAAAUCAAUUUAGAUGAUGAUGAGCCUCUUUUUCCUAGUCUCCAUGAAAGUAGUUCAAGUAAAAGGAAGGGGCCUAAGUUUGUUUCCAACAACCAUCCAACCAAGAGUAAAAGUUCAAUUUAUGAAGAACAAGUUGAUGCUUUAUUGGAUGUCAUAUCAUGAAAAAACACACAAACUUAUCCACAAAAUAAUCCUUCCCCAACAAUAUCAGAUUACAUGGCCAUUGUCAUCAACUUUCCCGAUUUUCGUAAAGGGUCCAACGAAUUUUCACAAAAAGAUGAAGUGAAGUACAUUGGUCGAAAGGGAUAUGCAACACAAAAUAUAAUGAUUGUUUGUGAUUUUAACAUGUGCUUUACAUUUGUCUGGACCAGUUGGGAGGGGACUGCACAUGAUACAAGAAUUUUCAAUGAAGCCUUACAGAGACCAGAUCUUAAUUUUCCCUAUCCAACAGGUGGUUAGUAUUUUUUUUUUGAACACAAGUUUUAUGUUUUUACUACUUGUUUGAAACGAAUAAUAAAUGUUUGUUUUAUUACAGAUAAAUAUUAUGUUGUUGAUGUCGGAUAUCAAAAUACUAGAGGGUAUCUUGCUCCAUACAAAGACACAAAUAUUCGUUAUCAUUUACCAGAUUUUCGACGUGGACACACAGCUGCUAUUCGUGAACCUCGUGGACCGAAAGAGAAAUUUAACUAUCUUCACUCAUCAUUGCGAAAUAUCAUUGAACGAACUUUUGGAGUGUGGAAAGCUAGGUGGACGUUAUUAAGAGACAUGCAUGUUAAUUACAAGUACAAGAACCAAGUGAGAAUUGUGAUAGCAUCGAUGACGAUCCAUAACUACACUAGAAAGGUUGGUAGGUUUGAUGAAACGAUUAAUAUGGCACAACAAGAAUCUUACAAUCAUGUACGAGGUGAUACCGGUAGUGAUGUUUACGAAGAAGGUCCAAGUACACGUCGUACGGACGGUGAUGAUUUAUAUAUCGCAACGAUACGGGAUAUUAUUGCACAAGAUAUAAUCACAUUGCGAAGAUGAAUGUAAUAUUAUCUAUGAUAUUUUUUUAUGAAUUAUUUACAAUUUGUAUUAACGUAAUUUUAAUAUUGUCAUGGUCUAAUCCAAAAAGUCAUCUUAUGAAUUAUUUACAAUUUGUAUGAACGUAGUAAUUUUUAUAUUGUCAUGGUCUAAUCCAAAAAAUUAGAAAUAUUUUAAAAGAAAUUUAUAUUUUAUAUUUUCUAAUAAAAUGUUUGCAAAAUUAUAAUAUGUGUUUAAAAAAAAUUAAGUAUUAAAUAAUAUAUGUAAAGUAGUAAAUCAAUGUAAAUAUGUAAACAUGUCAUUUUUAGUCAUUUUACAUAUAAAAUUUAAACAAAACACUUUAACUUUUGACUUUUUCUCUUCAAAAGCUAAUCCAAAUACAUUUUAAAAAAUAACUUUUGUAAAAAGUUCUUUUAUAAAAAAGACUUUUGCUCCACAAAAGUUAAGCCAAACGUCCUCUUGAAAAGCAAGAAACAUGUAUGAUGUUUUUUACAGUAGAAAAGUUAAAAAGUAGGUUUUCGGAUUCUAAAAUCCGAGGAAUAAACCCAAAACGCAACACUAACAUUACAAAAACUCAAAUAAUUAAUCAAAGUCUCAAUGUAUUCCAAUAUCAGGCAUGAAACUAUAUCAUUUCAUUAAACCGAUGAUACAUAUUAUCUAUAGGGAAGGAUUUUUGAAAGUGUAAAGUGAAAUGAAAAAUAAUUUGGAAUAAGCUGUCAUUUUACCAAGGAUCUAAAAUGUGGACGUCUAUACUCUAAAAAACUAUAUGGUCUUUUGUGAUUNNNNNNNNNNNNNNNNNNNNNNNNNNNNNNNNNNNNNNNNNNNNNNNNNNNNNAUUUUGAAAAAUGACCGAUUAUUUGUUAGAAGUUAAAUUCAAAGAAUUUAAAUUGAUUAAGGGGGUGUUUGGGAUUGCGUUUGAAAAGUGUUUAUUUGUUUAUUGGCUCUUUGAAAAGCUAAUAAGCAAAAAAAAGUGUUUGGUAAACUCAAAAACACUUUUUCAUAAUAACUUUUUUAUAAGUUUCAAUAAACACUUUUUAAUAAGCAUAUAAAACAUGGUUUUUGACACUGUUUAUGGCUUUUCAGCUAAAAUAACUUUAAAAAACAAUUUUUAAACCAAACACUUUUUAACAUAUUAACUUAUUAGCUUUUUCACUACAAAAGCUUAUCCAAACACUUUUUAAAAAAAACUCUUUUUUAACACCACUAUAAGCAAAUUAGCACUUUUAUCUAAAAUCAUUUUUCUUGUUUUUUCCCAAACAGGGUCUAAAUCAUUUACGUUCGGAUUUGUACCUACAAUCUAACAGGCUUCCACAUCUAUCUAGGUUAGUCUCAUAUUUGUAAUAGAUAUCUUAAGAAAAAAAACUUGUUUAUCAUUUAGAUACGACAAAACUGUAAAAUUGGUCCCUGUGGUAUUCAAAAAACUUUGGAUAGGGUCCAAAAAGUUUUCAACUUGCAUGGAAGGUCCAAAAUCAAUAAUUUCCUUUGGUUUUGGUCCUAAAAAAGUUGAAAAAUACGAUUUUACCCCUUAUCAUUUCUUUUUAUAUUUUCUGUAUUUGUUUAGUAUUUAAAUAAUUAUAAAAAAAAUCUCAUCCCCUUAAAUAAUUAUAAAAAAGAAAAAGAAAAUCACCUACCCCUCCCUACCCGUAACCCCCCUUCUCACUUUCACUCUCAUUUACUCUCUCGCCUCUUUCUCUAUAUAUCAGUUUUCUUUUCUUCCAUGUUAAUGCAAUUGUUGGUGGUGGUGUUGGGUUGUGAUAUGGAAGCGUGAAGACAACCGGAAAUCGGUAUGACAUCAGCUAUGUAAUGUCUAGAUUUCUUGAUGAAGAGCUUGUAGGAUCCUCCUUCUCUGCGUCUUCCCCUGUAUUUGUAUUUCCUUGUGAUGAAGGUAAGACCAUCAGUUUCAGUUCAUAUAUUAUGAUGAAAGAUGGUGGUGGUGAUAUGGCUCUCUAGCGAGUUAAUUAUUAUCCUCGAACAACAGGAGGGAUUUCAAGGCCCUAUUUUAGGGGUUUAAAAGUUCGAUUUUAGGGUUUCCAAGGUUCGAUUUCAGGGGUUUCAUCAUUUCCCUCUCCUUUUUCGUUGCACCAUCUCUUUAAUCUGAAACACAAAUUAAAAACAAAUCUCUUUAAUAUACUACACACAAGUUAGUGAAAUUAGGAAUUCAUGAACGAAAUUAGAAUGUACAGGUGAUAAAUUAGGAAAAAUAAACAGGAAUCAACUCCUGAUAUAUGAGCUCUUAGGUGUCUAGUAAGGAAAAUGAUCACCGGAAACCAGUUUGGAAUUGCUACGACAUCAGAGAUCUUUUGAUGAAAAUUGUCAUCGGAGAUAAUGAUCUGUUCAGAUAUUUUGAUGAAAAUUGUCAUCGGAGAUAAUGAUCAAAACAGAUGUUAAAUUGUGGGUUUAUGGUGGUGUUUUGUUGUGACUAGAUGUUGAUGAUGGGGUAAUCAAUGGUGUAUGAUGUAGGGUUCCGGCAAGCAUAUGGUGGCGGUGAUGGUAGUUGAAUGACAUCCGAGAGAGAGAGAGAGAGAGAGAGAGAGAGAGAGAGAGAGAGAGAGUGUGAGAUAGAGAGAGAAAGAGGAGGGCUGGGUGAGAUUUUAGUUUUGUUUUUAUUUUUAAUUAUUUAUAUAUCAAAAUAAAUAAAGAAAAUAGAGAAAAGAAAUAAAAAGGGUAAAAUCGUCUUUUUAAGUGUAUCAAGGACCAAAAGCCCAAAAAAAAAAUUGAUUUUGACUUUCCAUGCAAGUUGAAAACUUUUUGGAUCUCAUCCAAAGUUUUUUGAGUACCACAAAGACCAAUUUUACAGUUUUGUCUUUAGAUACCGUAACGAUUUAUACAAAACGAUUUGCUAUUUAUGUAUUGAAUUGUAUAAAAUAAUAAAUUAUAUACGGCUCUAAACAAUAAAAAAUUAAAAAGUAAAAACACUUCCAAAAGACGGUAUAUUGGAUUGAACUCGUUAGCUUGGCCACUGGAGAGUUGAAUACGCCAUUGAAGGCUGAGAAGAGCGAGCCAAUCGAGUAGCAUUGAGUUGCUACGGAGGGGAAUAAGGGGUCCUUCGUAGCAAAAAGAUAUCUUCAGUUGCUUCAGUUGAAAUUUUUUGGAUUGCUAGGAUUCACUAGACAAAAAAGGAUAAUUUGGCGAUUAACCCUAAAGAAUUGCAUAUACCAGUUACGGAUCGUAGAAUUCGCUCUUAAUGGCGACGAAGAUGGACGAGGACAAAGAGGAACUGAACAUAGUCGCCGCCGAACAACACCGGGAGUUAGCGGCGGCCCGAAUCUUCGUAUCCGACCUGGACCUAGCGUUCCGCCUCCAACUUGAAGAAGCCAUGACUGCCUCUCUCGCAUUUCAGCCCUCCUCCUCCACUUCACCGAUGAAAUCUCAACGACCACCAAUCCUGGUCUCGGACGACUCAGAUGCUGUAAACCUCGUCGACCUCCAAACCCUAGAGCUUGACAAUUACGAGGCUGAAAUCCGCGACCGCGUGGUCAUCGAAACAGAGAAGAUGAAAUUUAAGGAAGAUCUACACCGUCGAAUCCACGAUCAGAAACUAGCUCGAGAGAUUUUGCGUAUGCCAGAGGAUGAGUGGGAAGAGGUCGGCCACAAUUUCGAGCGUCCUUACGGCGAGGGUUCUUCUUCUUCGAAAAGCAAAGACAAUUCAGAGGUUUUUAGGGUUUAUUUCAAGGGUUUGUUGAGCGAGGAGAGAGUUCAUGGUACUAGUUCUUCACAGAAAACAACGACAUUCGCUGGAAUUGGCGUGGCAAUAUGCGAUUCGAGGGAUGAGUUAAUUUUCGAGAUGAGGAAACCUCUAGAUUUGAUUGAAGAUGAUCGUAUUAGCAGGCAGAGUGUUGAGGGGAAGGCGUUGAUUGAGGCUUUGAAUGCUGCCAUUGCUUUGGAUCUCAAGAGAAUCAGGUUCUAUUGUGAUUAUUACACACUGUAUCAAUACGUGAGUCGAUUUUCGUCUAAAGCUCUGUAUGUUGAUUUCGUCUUCAUACUUCAUACUUCAUAUCAGUGUUUCAACAACUGCAGGUUAGUGGGAGAUGGCAGCCAAAACAAGCUAAGAUGAAAGCGUUUGUGAAUCAGAUAAAACUCCUUCAAAAAAGUUUCACAUACUUUUCACCCUCUUUUGUUGCUCGAAAAGAUGUCAAAUUUGCAUUCAAACUCGCAAGAGAAGCAAUAGAUUCUCAAAUAAACAAGCCACCGGAAUCAAAUAAUGGCAAUAAGCUUGAACACUGUGUUAUAUGUUUGGAUGAUAAAUCAACAGACCAGUUCUUUUCAGCCGGAAAUUGUAACCACAGAUACUGCUUUUCUUGCAUGAAGCAACAUGUAGAGGUGAAAUUACUCCAUGGAAUAGUGCCUAAAUGUCCACAUGAAGGUUGUGAAUUGGAACUAAAAGUUGAAAGCUGUGAGAUUUUUAUGACACCAAAGUUAAUUGAGAUGAUGAAACAUCGAUUAAAGGAAGCUUCAAUUCCCGUGACAGAAAAAAUUUAUUGCCCUUAUCCAAAAUGUUCAGCAUUAAUGUCAAAAACUGAACUUUCAAAGCUUCCAAGAUUUAUACAUGAGAAUGGAGCUAGAACAUGCUGCAAAUGUCACGGUGACUUCUGUGUCAAUUGUAGGGUUCCUUGGCAUAGAAAUAUGAAUUGUGCAGAGUACAAGAGAAGAAAUCCUACACCCCUUGUGGAUGAAUCAAAGCUUAAGAGUCUUGCUGCAAGAAAUCUAUGGCGUCAGUGUAUUAAAUGCAAACAUAUGAUAGAGCUUGCAACUGGUUGCUACCAUAUGACAUGCAGGUAUGUUUUUAAUUUUUUUUUAGGGUGUAACCCAUGAAAUUCCCAAAUUCCUCAAGAACCCUAAUUUGGGCAAACAUCAAAAUGGAGCAGGUGUGGAUAUGAAUUUUGCUACACGUGUGGGGCUGAGUGGAAGAAUAAGAAGGCGACAUGCACGUGUCCCCUUUGGGAUGAAGAAAACAUUGUGGACACUGAUGAUGAUGAUGAAUUUGAUGAUGAUGAUGAUGAUGAUGAAUUUGAUGAUGAUGAAGAAUUUGAUGAUGAUUAUGAUUCUGAUGAUGAUGAAUAUUAUUUCUGAAGAUGGAUAGUUAUUUACUUGAUAACUUUUUGAUUGUAGGGAUGGUUGGUUAGAUGGAAUGGGUAAAAAUAAAUGGUGUUUUUGGUGUCUGCUUGUUUAUUUGUUUCUCAAUGUCAAUGGUUUAUUAGAUGUAUUAUCUAAUAUAAAAUUCACAAUCUUCAAAACAAAUAUAUACCCACAUAAAAUUUGAUUCAUAUUUGAAAUUUUAUUUUGAAAAAUUAAAGGAUUGUUUGAGAAAGAAUGUUUUGAAGUUUGAACUAUGGAAAUUGUUGAUGUUAACGUUUUGUUCUUCUUUAGAGACGUACAUGAAAUUAGAUCUAAAUAAAUAAAAAUGAUUUAUAAUAGUGUAACACUCGUACGUGACCAUGGGAGUUGGGGGCUUCACACAUAAUCUCACUAAACCGAUAUUUGGUGUUCAUAACCAUGACUUUGCCACACGUACUUACUAAGGUCAGACCGUAUAUCCCCUGCAUCUUGUAGUAAGGCUAACCGGUAUAUUGUUAGGUCAUAAUUUUGUGGUUUGAGCUAGGCAUUCAUCUUGUAUAGGUCUUGGUAGGGUCUUGGGGUUUGUUAUGUUGGUUGUAGUAUGUUAGCGAGUGUGUGCGGCCAUACACGCGUGUGCGGCUGUACACACGUGUGCGGUUGUAUACACGUGUGCGGUUGGUGGUCCUAUAAAUAGAGUGUAUCUGUGUCAGUUGUAUAGGAAGGUCAGUGACUUAUGUGUGUGUUUUCCUAAGGUGUACCUGACAUUUAUUUGAUAUAGAUGUGUGUACGUUUGGAUUAAUUCUUCUUCUACUCCUUCUACACUCUAUUUGAUGUUUGCCUUAAUUGAUAACUGAUUUGGAUCCAUUAGAUUUGAGACUUACAAUUGGUAUCAGAGCCAAUUCAGUGUCAAUUUUGAAGGAACAUUGAAGGUGUGCGGUUGGAGUUUGAAGGUGUGCGGUUAGAGUGUGCGGUUGAGUGUGCGGCUGAGUGUGCGGUUGGAGUGUACGGUUGGAGUGUGCGGUUAAGUGUGCGGCUGAGUGUACGGUUGGAGUGUGCGGUUGAGUGUGCGAUUGGAGUGUGCGGUUGAGUGUGCGGUUGGUGUGUGCGGUUGGGACCCAGGCUUGUAAUGACCUGGGUCCCCAAAUCUAAAUAAUCCCGCUCAUUGUGCAGGAACAACUGUGGAGGAAUGUCGUCAAACCUUGGUACGUCGACAGCGGUUGUUCCAGGCACAUUGACAGGAGACAUCUCCCAACUGCACGUCAUUCAGAAUUUUAAUGGGGGCUAUGUUUCCUUCACGGGAGGAGAUGGAGGGAAGAUCACUCAAAAAGGAAUAGUUGUAAAUGGAGUGCUGAGUUUUGAGAACGUCAUCUACGCUCCUGAGUUAAAGUAUAGCUUGUUGAGUGUCUCACAGAUCAGCUUAUAGACUACGGAUAAUGAUAUACGGUUAAGCAGUGAAGACCUCGAUGCAAUAGUGUUUACAGAGUGUUCCAUCGAGUUGUACCUGACGUUUUUCUGAUAUAAACGUGUGCAAGCUCGAUUUCUUUUCAUCUUCUUAUUCUAUUGCUGCUUGAUCAUUGACAAAAGGAGUUAGUGGUGUUCUCAAAGUGACGUCUCCAACUUUUGAUCAGAUGGUCGACACCUUUCAACCGAUAUGGAUACAACUUCAAGGAUUCCUCCCCUUCCAUUUGCUAUUCCAACUUUAUUUCCAUUUGAUGAGUGAUCAGAUACUGACACAAACCUCCCAGCCUCUUGUGAAAACAACAUGACUUGAUCAGAGGCAGGGAGAUCUUAUCCAAGAACAAGUACCACCAAUCCAACAACCCUCCAAAGCUGCUACACCAACUCAACCGACCCUAAAAGGACCAAGUAAUGUUAGAUCUUCGUUUGAAGUCGGGAGUUCUUCUGCUCCUGGGGGUUCUUCUCCUCCACAACCUACGCAUGAUGUUGCCUCUUUGAGGCUUGCCAGGUUUCUUGUUCAACAAGAUUCAGAUCCUUUACCUCGUGGCAAAUGAAUAUCAACAGGUGAAGGAAGUCUAGGGGGAGCAGGCCCAUCUAUCUCAGAGCUCAAGGAGGAGAUCACUGAUGAAGAAGACCUGAGUCCAUGCUAGCUCAAACCAAGGGGGAGAAUGUUAGGUCAUAAUUUUGUGGUUUGAGUUAGGCAUUCAUCUUGUAUAGGUCUUGGGGUUUGUUAUGUUGGUUGUAGUAUGUUAGCGAGUGUGUGCAGCCAUACACGCGUGUGCGGCUAUACACGUGUGUGCGGCUGCACACUCUGUGUGCGGCCAUACACGCGUGUGCGGUUGUAUACACAUGUGCGGCUGGUGGUCCUAUAAAUAGAGUGUGUUUGUGUCAGUUGUAUAGGGAGGUCAGUGAUGUAUGUGUGUGUUUUCCUAAGGUGUACCUGACAUUUAUUUGAUAUAGAUGUGUGCACGGUUGGAUUAAUUCUUCUUCUACUCCUUCUACACUCUAUUUGAUGUUUGCCUUAAUUGAUUACUGAUUUGGAUCCAUUAGAUUUGAGACUUACAGAUGACCAACCCACGUGUGAUGGCCUACGUGCCAUGGUAACCUACUAACCUACUUGUGAACACCACUCCAAUGGAGCGUGGGUGGCUUGUGACGUGAUAGCGGAGAUGUACAAAAACAACCAAUGAAAAUGCAACAGGCUUGCAAAUCUUGCAAACAGUCAUAUAUUUGACCGUUGUUGUAUACGUUGGAAAUAAAAAUAUUAUUUAAUUUCCAAAUUUAAACUUUACAUCUUAUACUUAUAUAUACCAACCAUUUUAUAUACAUUUUACACUACAGAAACACACAACAUUCUUCUACGUUCUCAUUUUUUCUUUAAAAUAUGGAUUCAACUCAAAAUACCUCAGUCACUCCAAGUCUCCAACCACCUCAAACACUCCAAAUGAUCUGAUGACGUGCCCUAGCACGGACAAAGAAGUCGCGAAAUAGACGCGUCAAAGAAUGCCCCAAGGCAUGUCGCGCACAGCAGACUAAGUCCGACGGAACCUAACGCCCUUAAGAGCAGGGCGCUUGCGGAGAAAGGCUUGGCCCCGCCAGGGGCGCCUUUCACUCCGGGACAAAUGUAACGGCCUCAGGCGACAAGGCAGAUGUUCAUUGCAUUACCGCCUAAACCAAUCAUGCUUUUUGGAAAUUAAGUCGUCUUCUCUUAGUUUACACACAAUACAACCCCGAGUCUAUCCACUGACUAGACCGUCGGAGCGCUUUCCCGGGAGUCUCCUCCCGGAGAACGGCCGCUGAUCCUUUCUCGUUGUGACCUCGCAGGUUCAUCGGAAUCACCACAGAUGUACAAAACCAUCGUUCGAGAACCAAGUCACAUCAUUUGCCGUCAUCCGUAAUGUGACGAAAAACAAGCAAAAAGCACACUCCUCAUCGGUGAAAGAAUGGCGUCCGGUGACACCGGGGUAACUGGUGGAACACCAAACAGCCCCAUCAGGCCUAUGAUGUCGUUGGAACAAACCACCACCCCGAUUCCCACAACGCUCUCCGGUGAAGCGUCACAAAAGGGCGGCUCGACGGUAACCACCACUCCAACAACCGAGUCACAGAGAUUGGUCGUCGGAGGACCAACUUCUCCGUCGUCGUAUCAACACAAAGCACUCCAAUGCAAACACCACAACCAAUGGUGAUAUCAAGCAGUACAACACCGCCAACGGUGGAAAACGCCAACGCCACACCAGCUUUCUCGCAACCGCAACCACUACACCAUAUGGUAGGCGAACAAUCGGUGGUUUUCCAAACAUCAUCGCUGAACCAGAUGGUGAGAAACCAAAUAAUGGCUUUCCAAAUACCUUCGUUUGUAACAAACAUACCUUUCAACACCACAAUCCCACAUUAUCAGCAACUUGUGCCCAAUAAUCCUCUUGCACAAAACUCACCCCUUUUGCCCAUCCAAAUGUUAACCUUCCCAUCUCCACAACAAGCGUUCUAUGGGCCAAACUAUGGUCACUCCCCGAUGUAACGCCUGUAGAUCCGGGCUAGUCAAUUUAGAGACAAUAGGGGUCGAAAACGACUUUUCGACAAAAGAUUAUUUAAUCUUAACCAAGUUUUAUAAUAUUUCUCAAGGGUUCCGUACAUAUAAAGAAUGCCGAAAUCCGAGUUAUAACGAAGACGUUAUGACUCGUCGAAGUUUUAUGGCAAAACCGGCACGGCACCAGGAGACGUAAAUAGUGAAUUUUUGAUAAAGGACUUUUUAGCCUUAUCGAUCCAAAAAAAAAAGUUAUAGUAUAUGUUAAACCGAGAACAUACAAAAAAAGAACGCCCAAAUCUGACUUCGUAUGACGAAGUUAUGAAUUUUCUAAGAUUUGGCAUAACAGUGCACGCCCCGAAACUCGAAUUUUAGUUCGAUUGGUUUUUGGCCUACGCGACCUAAAUGAGAAUUGAAGAUCUCAUUAAUAGGAACUCAACGGUAAAAAUACAGACGAAAGCAGAGUACGCAUGUAGAAGUUAUGAAUUUUACGCGAAUAUUUAACAAUAUAAUCUCCUCGUACUGUUAAAAUUAAGAUAGUUCUAGAAUUAGCAGACGGAGUCAAAAUGAAAGUUGUAGAUCUUAUUUUUACCUACGCGUGGAUAUAAAGAACGUCAAAAACGGAGGUCGUAUGUGAAAGUUACGGAUUUUAGAAUUCGGAAGUGUGAUGUGCGAAAAUGGGUGAUGUGGCACAAUCUUGGCCAUUGCUUUCUCCCCAAGUCUUGCCACUAGAUGGUGACAUGUGGCACCAAGUUCAGCCAUUUUCACCCUAUAAAUAGAACCUCUCCCACCGUCAUUUUCUUCACACCUUUCCCAUUCUUUCUUCUUUUUACUCUCUCUCUAGAACCUCUCUCUAGCCCCGAAACCCCCCGAAAAGUCUAGGGAACCUCCCUAGCACGAGGCAGAAGCCCCGGAGUGCUCGACGACUCCGAGAGGAAGAGAUUUUGGGCUCGGGAACGCUGCUCCAAGCAAAGCCCGGUUUUCUAUAAAACCCGCUGUAAGUGAGCUACGUCUACGCUAUUUUUAAUAUAUCGUUUAUUUAAUUAUAGUAACGUUAUUAGGAACUUAUAAUAAGUACUUGAGAUAUUAUUAUGAGUUAUAUAAUUAAUUAUUAGGAAUAUUGGGUAGUGUUUUCUUACGAGUACGAGUGAAUUAUACUCAGAGAAUAAAACCUUAGUAUAUGUCAUUGAUCCGGGAGCAUGGAUUAGACCUAUUCAUUGUCCCUAGUCCGAGAGUAUGGAUUAGGCAUAAUCAUUCAUCAUUAAUCCGAGAGUAUGGAUUAGUCAUUCGUCCCUAUUCCGAGAGUAUGGAUUAGGUAAAGUCGCUCAUUUCUGAUCCGGGAGUAUGGAUUAGGUAAAACGGCUACUCUUAGGUCUGAGAGUAUGGAUAGUCUCGUUGUCAGGAUCGACGGGGUGGGAUAGGAGUUGCUUACACAUAUAUGGUGAAAUUGUAUGUUUUGUGAGUUCUAAAUUAUAUAUAUGAUAUAACAUUGUAGGAUUGAAAUCCCUAUGUAAUCACUAUGUUUCUCAACCUGACCCACUCAGUUUAUUUAUAUCACAGGUGUUGAUAUGAAGUCACAUUACACUGAGAGAUUAAGGAGAUAUAGAUCACUAGUGAUAAUGAAUGUAAGUUUUGUUUAUGAUUUUGUUUCUGUAUUGACGAUGACAUCCCAAAUGUUUUAAAAUGAAUAAAAAUACUUUUCUUCGGAAAUGCUUUGAUAACGUAUUUAUCAUGUUUUAGUGGGAAUAAAUUCCGCAACAUUUUUAUUAAAAAACGUACUCUGAUUUUUAUAAAGCAUAAACAAAAUCGGUCUUUUCGGGCCGCGAAAAAUGGGGAUGUCACACCCGACAUACAACAGCAUGCUCACAUCCCAAAUCAAGACUGUCUGUCAUGCAGCAUAACAUCUCCGUUCGCCUAGGAGCUCUUAGAUUACGAAAUCCCAAACACAACAAAGUUCCCACAUCUCAAGACCUACAAUGGAAACACAGAUCACGAUAGCCACAUCGACACUUACGAGUGGACAAUGACCUCACUCAAGCUAGACGAGCGAUUAUGGUGUACAUACUUCCCGACAACCAAGACGGCAACGCAGGAACGUGGUUCAAGACGCUGCGACCAAGGAUCAUCUAUAACUUCGGGUAGUUAAAGUAUCUCUUCUUGGCGAAUUUCAUGCAACUGCGUAAAUACAAGGGAGAUUCACACUCGAUUAUCGGCUACAAGCAGAAGGAAGGAGAGACAGUGCGAGAAUGCUUCACCAGGUUCACUAACACCACACUGGACAUCCCAAGCCACGACGAAGGAUUAAUAGCAGGCGCCUUUACUUGGGGAAUCCUCCUAGGACAGUUGUCUCAAAAGCUCAUGGGGAAAAACCGAAGAUAGGGGCAGAGCUAAAAGAGAAAGUAGAACGCUACCUGAGAAAAGAGGAAGGGGAGGCAACAAAGCAAGCAUACCUGAACGCCAUGAUCGCCUCGGCAACAAAGUGCCACAGCUCACCACCAUCUCACCCCGAAACCCAAGGCAGGGGCAAACACUUUGGGUGAAGUAAGCGCUCGCAAGAACGCUUUAGACCAUUCCAAAAAGACGAAAGACGAGGUAGGUGACCAGACGUCUAUGCAGUUUCUGACAAGCAACCGGUGAAGGGAGGAAAGGGAUGGUACUAUGAGUACCACAAGAGUAAAAGACAUGACACCUUCAACCACUCAAUGCUUAAAAGGGAGAUCGGAGAAGAACAAUUGGAAGGGACCCUCGUCGAGAUAGCACGAAACCCCCGUGCAAAGUUUGAUGCCGAGAAUGCCAAAGACAUACCUGAUGGGUUUUGGACAUAAGAACUUUACCUAUGUGCACAUACAACCCUAUAGCUUGGAUCUAGGUUUCACUAAUUGAACAUGCUAUAAUUCCAAGACUUUCAUGGCUAGAUCUAAGAACAAAACAUAUGAAAAGAGAUCUAGAUUAAUACCUUGAGUUACUUGCUUGAAACCUUCUUCUUCUUGGAGCUAAGAGUCACAAAUGUCACUCCUCUAAUGGCUUACAAACACCAACUAGCAAGAAGGUGACUUGAGAGAGAUGAGGAAGAGGGAAAUCGGCUCUAGGGUUUCUCCAAUCACAAUAAUGGCCGAUUUCCUCAACUCUAUGGGUCUAUUUAUACUGUGAGCUCCUAGGGUUUCACCCUUAAACCCUAAUUGGAUAACUUAGCCUCAAAGCAAUCCAAAUCCCUUCCUAGAUAAGGCCUUGGACGAUUUCUAGGUGAUCCAUAUCCCUAAAAUCGUCCAACCCUAUAUCCAUAAGGAUUAUCAGCUCAAAAUACAACUUUCAUACAUUUGACAGUUUAUACCCCUUUAUUCAAUUAAUCUCUUUAAGUCACCAAAUUAAUUCCUAAUUAAUUUAUGACUUAUAUUAAUCAAAUAAUAUUAUUAUUCUUUUAAUAUAUUAUUCUUAUAAUAUAUUAAUUAUAAUAUCUCUUCUCUCUAAAUCACCCUGUCAAGUUGCUAUGGUGAAGGCAACCCAAAAGGACCUUGCACAAUCGGGUCAAGUACUUACCAAAUAUAGUUACAACCUUAGACACUAAUCCAACAGUCUCCCACUUGGAUAAGUCUAGUAACUAUAAACGCAAACACAAUCCGAUUAGCAAUCGUAGCUCUCAAAGACGCUGUCAACUCUGAUCUUAUCAGUAACCUGUCCUUUAGAUAAGGGAUCGUACAGUCCUCUGUUUUGAUAUCGUGCAGACGAUUUCAUGAGACAUUGUCAUACUCAUUGUCCAGCAACUAUUUUCUCGAUCUCAGAUUUAUUUGACAUAGAACUUAAUUGAACACAUCAAUUCAGUCCUGACCGGGCCCGACACAUAAGUCAAAUCAAAUCAUCGAGCGGUCGUGAUAUCGCUUUUACCCUCUUAGGAUAAAAGUAACAGAUAAACUUCGACUUAUAUGCAUUUACUUAUCCACUAAUCAACUAUACACAACAAUGCGUUUUAUAACAUCAAUUUACUGAUGCGGUUUCGCAUUAUCAAUGUACAACCAAUUAGUAAAUAAUAAACCAUAUAUCUAGGUUUUAAGACCAUAUGAUAUUAUCGUCUUGCGAUCACUCCAAAGUGAUUCCAGCAAGCGCGGGUUUAUUCCAAUGCUCAAAACUUGUUCAUAAGCACUCAUGAACGUUGCAGCAAACCUUUGCUAUGUCUAAUACCAUUUAGACAAUCUACACACCAAUUCAUGACAAUCUUCAUUCAUACCUACUUCCAACAUAUGAACGAUUGUGGACAGUUUGAAUAAUUCGAUUAUUCUUAAUAAACUCAAUUAUUCUGGAAGUCAAAACAUGCAAAGUGAAACAAUAGUUAAACAAUUAACAUAAGACAGUAACAUUACUCAUAAAUAAUACUCUUUUAUUUAAUCAUCAAAUGUUAAUUACAUUUAUCUAUUACACGUUUCUAAUACUAUCUAAUCUAUACUAAUAUCAUCCUUCAGCCCAAUACUCCUAGCAUGCUGCAAGUGCUUAACCCUGCUCAGUCCCUUCGUAAGCGGAUCUGCUGGGUUAUCUUCUGAUGAUAUCCUCUUCACUACGAGUUGUCCUUCUUCUACACGAUGUCUAAUAAAGUGAUAUUUUCUGUCGAUAUGUCGAGAUCUACCAUGAUCCCUCGGUUCCUUGGUCAAGGCAACCGCUCCUUCAUUAUCACAGAAAAUCUCCAUGGGCUCCUUUAUGGCAGGUACAACUCCAAGAUCACCGAUGAAGUUCUUCAACCAUAUUGCCUCCUUCGACGCUUCGCUCGCUGCAAUGUACUCUGAUUCGCACGUUGAAUCAGCUACGGUUUCCUGCUUGGAACUUUUCCAAGUUACUGCUCCUCCAUUCAGGGUAAAGACCCAGCCCGACUGCGAACGGUAGUUGUCCCUGUCGGUCUGAAAGCUGGCGUCACUAUACCCUCGCACCUUCAAGUCAUCACUCCCUCCGAGGACUAAGAACCAUUCCUUCGUCCUCCGAAGGUACUUAAGGAUAUUCUUCACCGCAAUCCAAUGGGCUCUGCCAGGAUUCCCUUGAUAUCUGCUAACCAUGCUCAAAGCAAAGGCUACAUCAGGGCGAGUACAAGUCAUAGCGUACAUGAUUGAGCCAACUGCGGAAGCGUAUGGUACUCGGCUCAUUUCUGCUAUCUCAGCUUCGGUACUCGGACUUUGAGUCUUACUCAAUUUGGCAUUACUUUGUAUCGGUAAUUCUCCCUUCUUUGAGUUUUCCAUACUAAAACGUUUUAGUACCUUCUCUAAGUAAGUAUUCUGACUAAGUCCAAUUAGUCUCUUACUUCUUUCUCUUACUAUCCUUAUUCCCAAAAUGUAAGAAGCCUCUCCGAGGUCCUUCAUAGCGAAGCACUUCCCGAGCCAGGACUUAACCUCCUGCAGAGUCGGGAUGUCGUUUCCUAUGAGUAAUAUGUCAUCGACAUAUAGAACGAGGAAGCUUACUAUACUCCCACUGGCUUUGACAUAUACACAAGAUUCGUCUUCGCUUCGUACAAAUCCAAACUCUUUGACUUUCUCAUCGAAGCAAAGAUUCCAUCUGCGAGAUGCUUGCUUAAGUCCAUAAAUGGACUUCUCAAGCUUACACACUCUAUUCGGAUGCUUCGGAUCCACAAACCCCUCUGGCUGAGCCAUGUAAACAUCCUCAGCCAACUUUCCGUUAAGGAAAGCGGUCUUGACAUCCAUUUGCCAAAUCUCAUAAUCAUGAAAUGCGGCAAUUGCUAGCAUCACUCUAAUAGAUUUAAUCUUCGCAACUGGUGAGAAGGUCUCAUCAUAGUCAACUCCGGGAGUUUGAGUAAAGCCCUUCGCAACCAAUCGCGCUUUAUAUGUGUGUACGUUUCCAUCCACGUCGGUCUUCUUCUUGAAGAUCCAUUUGCACCCAACGGUCUUACGUCCGGGCACAUAAUCAACCAAAUUCCAAACUUGGUUAUCAUACAUGGAUUGGAUCUCGCUAUCCAUUGCCUCUUUCCAUUUUGCAGACUCCGGGCCUGCCAUGGCUUCCUUAUAGCUAUUAGGUUCAUCAAGAUUUAUUAGUGUACCAUCACUAAUAUACGUGUCCCCUUCGGUAGUAAUAUGAAAACCAUAAAACUGGGGUUGAACUCUAACUCUAUCGGAACGUCUAAGAGGUAAGGAUUCGUCAAUCGGUUCAACCGGAGUUUCCUCCUCGGGUUGAGUGCCAGCGGUAGAGGUUCCUUCAUCUAUCGACUCUUGAAUCUCUUCAAGCUCGAUUUGCCUCCCACUGUCUCCUUGGCUUAUGAGUUCUCGCUCUCGGAAAACUCCUCUCCUCGCAACGAAGACAACAUUGUCCUUCGGUCUAUAGAAGAGAUAUCCAAAGGAUGUCUGCGGGUAGCCGAUGAAAAUACAUCGCUCACUUCGAGGUUCAAGCUUGUCGUGAGUAUCUCGUCUUACGAAAGCCUCGCAACCCCAAACCUUGAUAUGUGCCAACGAGGGAGCUUUCCCUGUCCACAUCUCGUGAGGUGUUUUGGCAACCUUCUUAGUAGGGACUCGGUUAAGGAUAUGGGCGGCAGUCUCUAAGGCAUACCCCCAAAAAGAGAUAGGUAGUGAAGCACGACUCAUCAUAGAGCGAACCAUAUCCAAUAAGGUUCGAUUACGCCUUUCUGCCACACCAUUCAACUGCGGUGUCCUAGGAGGCGUCAAUUGCGAAACUAUUCCACACUCCUUGAGAUAAUCGUGGAAUUCAAGACUUAGGUACUCUCCUCCUCGAUCGGAUCGAAGCAUCUUGAUUUUCCUGCCCAAUUGAUUCUCCACUUCAUUCUUGAACUCUUUGAACUUUUCAAAGGUUUCUGACUUUUGCUUGAUUAAGUAGAUAUACCCAUAUCUACUAUAGUCAUCGGUAAAAGUCACAUAGAAGCGGUUCCCAUCCUUCGUGGUUGAUCUAAACGGUCCACAUACAUCGGUAUGUAUUAGGUCCAAUAGACCCUCGCCCCUUUCACAUGUACUCGUGAAGGGUGACUUAGUCAUCUUUCCAAGCAAACAAGACUCGCACGUGUCAUCUUCCCUAAGGUCGAAUGACUCCAACACUCCAUCCUUUUGGAGUUGGGCUAUGCGCUUCUUGUUGACAUGUCCAAGACGACAAUGCCACAAAGAUGCCUUAUCCAUACUAUUGGAAGAAUCUAUACACAACACAUCAUUUCCUAGGUUAUCUACAACCAUAACAGUCUCAUAAAUUCCAUUACAAGGCAUUGCUUCAAAGUAUAAAACACCAUUUAGAUAAGCAUAAAUAGAACCAUUCCUAUUAUUAAACGAAUAUCUAAAUCAUUGUCUAAAAAAACCAUGAAAUGAAAUGAUGUUUCUUGCCAUAUCAGGCGAGUAGCAACAAUUAUUUAAAUCUAGACCUAAUCCAUUACUAAGCACUAAAGAAUACACUCGAAUCUUGGUGACAGGCGACGAUCUUCUAUUUCCCAUGAUUAGAUUUAUUCUUCCUUGCUCCACAUCUCUAUUUCUUCUUAGUCCCUGCAAAUCAGAGCAAAUAUGGUAACCACAUUCUGUAUCAAGAACCCAAGAAAUAGUGUGAGAUGAAUUACUAGAUUUAAUUGUGUAUAUACCUGCAAAAGAUGGCUUGAUCUUUCCCUCUUUGAUGGCUUGCAGGUAUUCCGGGCAACUUCUCUUCUAAUGCCCUAUCUUGUGGCAAUGAUGGCACUCUGCCUCCUUCGGGUUAGGGUUGGGCUUAGCAGGAUCAACUUUGGUCCCACUAGAGGAGGAACCAUCUUGGGACUUUCCCUUGCGGUGGCUCUUUGACGGAGCCUUCCUCUUUUUGCCCCUUCCCUGCCCUAUAGCCAAAACAAGGGCAGCGGUUGGUGCGGGAGAUGGUGCAACAGACUUGUCCUUUAGGUUGCUCUCAGCAGUCCUAAGGAGUCCUUGGAGCUUGCUUAGGGUGACCCCUUCCUUGUUCAUUUGGUAUAUCAUCCUAAAUUGGCUGUAGCAUGAAGGCAAGGAAUGAAGAACAAUGUCGAUGGCCAAACCCUCUCCAAAGUUAACAUUUAACUUGCGAGGACGGUCAACAUAUCGUUGCAUCUUUUGCAAGUGCACAGUCAACGAUUCUCCAUUUCCCAUCUUAGCGGUGAUCAUAUUAGUGAUGAUCUCGUAGCAUUCUUACCUCGCACUUUGGUGGUACCUCUCCAUCAAGUCUUGAUGCAUUUCAUACGGAUACAUGUCCUCAUAGGACUUUUGGAAUUCUUGGUUCAUUGUGGCUAUCAUGAUGCAAUGUACUUUCGUUGCAUCACGUUCGUGUGUAUCAAAGACAGCCAUCUCCUCGGGAGUAGCGAUUUAUGGGUUGACCUUCUUGAGCUUUUCGUCGAGGACAUACUCUUUGUCCUCAUAGUGUGCAAUGGUACGAAUGUAUCUUAUCCAUUCGCUAAAGUUGGUACCAUCGAAGGUCACCUUUUGGCAAAGACUCAUUAAGGUGAAUGAGUUGGCAGCAGCGUUGUUUGCGUUCGACAUCUACAAAUAGAAAGGACAAAGUUUGAUUAGAAUUUGGAUCCCUAAUUAAACACCCAAAAUGAAAAAUUAGGGCUAGGACCCAACAACAUUAUUCACAUAUUAGAAAAGGGAUGCCGUAAUCCAAUCAUGCAAAUAAUUUGGAGGUAAGUGAAUGACGAUUCACUAAUUCUUCACCACAAAAACAUAACUUUAAGUUUUAUUGAGAAUUCCUAGAUUUUAGAGAUUCAGUGAACCUUUCAAUGGCAUGUUUAAAUCCCGAUAUGCCCCUCUAGUUUGUGACUGGGAUACCGAGGAUCACAAAGCGGGUGUGAAUUACCAUGCAAAUCUACAUGGUGCCUUCAUUGUUACAAUCAUCUAUUCGAUGUGCCGGUAAACCACACACGCUCCAUCGAACUAUGAUAAACAAUGAAUCACCCUUUGCCACCUUUGCUUAGAACCAAUUAGUGUGCUGGUAAACCACACACGCUCCACUAACUUCUUAGCAAGGGUGCAAAGUGCAAUUUCAUGGGAUUGCAUCAAUUCACUUUUCCUAAAGUAACUAAGAUUG